ACCUAGCUGGUCUUUCAGAGAUUCUAAGGAAAGGGACUGGUUGCGUAAAGGGAAGGUAUUAGCACCCCUAGUACGCCCUACCUAAGGUAAGCUGCUUGGUGUUUGGUUUGCUCUAUAAUCUAUGGUGUUGGUGUUUUCUGGUCCUGUAAAUUUUCCUAGAUUUGAUUCAAAAAAACAAUUUACUUUGGAUAGAAAUUCAAGGAGAUUCCAUAUGCUUUGAAAGCUCAUUUUUCCCUUAGUAUUUCAAGACUUUGCGACUCGUAAAUCGCAAGGAGGAGGAACGAUUUUUUUUUAGAAAUCUAAGAAAAUUCACAGCGCUUUAAAAAAACCUCCUCUUGCCUUAGUAUUUCCACUUUCAUGGCUCGUAAACCAUGGAGUAAAAAAUUUGAAAUUUUGAAAUGUCCUCGAUUAUAAUCAAGGCUUCUUUCAAAGAUGUGUGCGGAUUUAUUACUCCCACUAAUAUUUUGGAUAUUCGUCCUUUAAGGAUUUCUUUAUCCAAAUAUUAGCGGUGAAUAAUAGAUGAAUCCCCCCCCUAAAAUAAAAUUUUUAUAGUUUUUGGAAUAUUGGCCAAUACCCUUUGGAGUUUUACAAACUUGUUGUAAAAUCCAAAAAUGCAAGAAAAUAGUUUGUGUUUAAGAAAUCUAUGCGAAAAAACACUUUCAAAGCUUCCAAUAUUUUUUUUUAUAAAAAUAACAUUCAAAACAUGUUAGAGUAUUGGCCGUAUGCAACACGCAAGAAAACAUUUUUUUUGUAAACAUUUUUUUUUUGACAAAAACGGAUAUUUUAAACACUGAAUUUGUAUCUCCACAGUAUAAAAAUAGAAACCAAUAUAAAAAAUCAUAAAAAAAUGUGCAGGAAAAAUCAACAAUAUUUUUAAGGAAAUUUUUUUAGAAUUUUUUUUAAAGCAAAAAGACAUUUUUUAUCUUUGAAAAUCUUGGAUGUCUUGACGAAAACCGGGUAUUUUAAACACUGAAUUUGUAUCUCCACAGUAUAAAAAUACAAACCAAUGUAUAAAACAAAUAUAUAUAUGAAAAGAAAACAACAAUAUUUUUUAGACUUUUCGGAUUUUUUUUUUUAAAAUAUAUAUACAUGCAUAAUAUAAUAUAAUAAUAUAAUAUAAUUUAUAAAUAUAUUAAUAUAUUAAAUGGGCUGGGCCGGACCCAACCCCAAAAGUCGUUAGGCCGAACUUGGCCCAAAAAGGAUUGGGCCGAUCUCAGCCCAACACCUAAUCUACCUUGGUCUGGGCCGGACCCAGCCUAGACCGCCGGAUUGGGCUAGAAACCCUCUGGCCCAUCCCACAUAGCUUUGGGCCAGAAACCAUCUGGCCCAGAGAAGAAAAAAACACGGGAGGGGAAAUUAUUUUCCCCCCCGCCUCCUGCAUGCAGAACGAUUCUGCAUGCAGGAGGCAACUUCUGCAAGCUUCGGGGACAAAAAAAAAAUGCGCAGGGGGGAAAAGGAACAGUACCUGGCACGAUGGAGAUGAUGGCUUGCUGGCGGUGCUGCGGUGGAGGCGGUGGCAGUGUCCUAACUCACGGUGGCUCCUCACGGUGAUUUCCAAAUAGUCCGGCGACGUCCUCUCGGUUUUUUUCUUGGUUUUUGUUUUCUAAAGUCCCUCCCGGCUUCAAUCCUUCCCCUUUGCUCUCGAUUUUCUGGGGUUUUCGGUGACUCUCUCCUCUGUUAGGUCGUUUCUCUCUCCUCCUCUCCCUCUUCGGUUUUCUUUGUUUUUCUUUGGGUUCUCUUUUUUUUCUCCUCUCUUUUUCUCUGUUUCUUCUCUAUAUAUAGGGAUACCAGGGCAAUGGCUUUGUCCUGGCCGCAUGGGGAGUGGGGGCACGCUGGUCGGUCGGUCGGCAGGCGCCGCUGCCAAGGCGGGUUUCCCUCGGUUUCGGUGGCGCGGCGGGUGGUCGGCCAUUGGCUUUGGUUUCGGUGGUCCCGAGGCGUGGAGCGUCGGGUCAUGGCACGUGAGGAGAGAGGCGGGAACAAAAACCCCGGUUUUCCUCUUCCCUGCUGCGCAUGCGGGGGGAAGAAGAAAGGGAAACAAUGCCGUUCAAAACGGCACCGUUUGGUCUCUCUUUUUUUUUUUUCUUUUAAAACGUAUGAAACGGCGUCGUUUUGGAGAAAACGCGCCGUUUCAUUCAAAUGUGGCGCCAGAAACGCGCCAAUGUUCAAAUCAACCCCCCAAUUAUUUUUGUUCAUUUCAAUUGCGUCCCUGCCAAUUUCGGUCCCUGCCCCCAUAGUUGGCCGUGUUUUCCACUUUGGUCCUUGGCCUCUGAUUUAUGCAAUUUAGUCCUCAAUUGAUCAAAAACUUCCAAUUUCUUCAAUUAGGCCCCUGAAUCAAUUCAAUUGCAGCCCCUCCAUUUACGCGCCUCUUCCAAUUUGGUCCCUGGUUUCGGAUUUCCUCAAUUAAGUCCCUAAUUGGCCAUUAAACUUCAAUAUUUAUGCAAUUAAGCCCCUGAUUUAACCUAAUAAAUUCCUAAAAAAUAUAAUUGGGUCCCAGAACUUAAAUUUCUUCGAAUUAAAGCCCAAAUUGACUUAAAAAUCAAUUUUUCUUGCAAUCAAAUCCCCUAUAAACUUAAUGAAAAAUCCAAUUAAGUCCAUAAACAUCCAAAUUUGGACUUUUCUCCUCAAACUUCCAAUUUUCUUAUUCAACAGGGUUCUCAUCAUUCAAGAAUAUAUUGUCAAAAAUCCAUCUUUGUAUUUUUAACUUCCUUGAUCGAUUUUUUUUUUGACCAUUUGCUUAGCGCUUCUGCCUCCUGUUAUUUUUCCUAAACUCCUUUGGCUAUUUAUUUUAUUUUAUUUAUUUGGGGACCCGAAAAUGGGUUACAACAGAUGCCCCCUCUUUAUAAAGCUUACGGAGCAGAGGUUUUGCGCAGUAAGUUUUAUAAAGAUAAACCAAAACUGAACUCCAGAAACUGAUCUGGUCGGAGCCUAAAAACUAUGAUCAAAAUUUAGUCAUCUCAAGAUCCCUUUUGGCGCCCUCCUUUGACUAAUAUUGCAAUAAGAGAUCCCUUCCAGCGAUCUCAAUCAACUUGGAAACCCCUCUGGCGAUUCCUUUCAACCAAAACUAAACUCUGUGUGUGGUUGGAUUAACCUGAGAUCUCAGCUAGCGAUCUCUUUCAAGCACAACCAAUAAAAAAAUGCAUGUGUGGUCUUAUUAUGAUGGGUGACCUGCCCGAGUGGAAAAAGGGAAGAGUGGUCUCAUUCUUAUGGGUGACCUACCCAGGGGGAUGAAUGGUCUCGUUAUUAUGGGUGACCUACUCAGGUAAAAAAAAAAAGAUGGAGAAUGGUCUCAUUCUUAUGGGUGACCCACCCAAGUGGAAAAAGGAAGAGUGGUCUCAUUCUUAUGGGUGACCUACCCAGGGGGAAGAAUGACCUCAUUAUUAUGGGUGACCUACCCAGGUAAAAAAAAAAGGAGAUUGAUCUCAUUCUUAUGGGUGAACUACCCAGAAAAAAUAAUGGUCUCAUUGUGAUGGGUGACCUACCCAAGUGGGAAAGGGAAGAGUGGUCUCAUUCUUAUGGGUGACCUACUGUUGGUUAUUUUUGCAAGUGCACAAAUCUUAACAAGUAAUAAAGUGAUGAGUAGAGUAUCGUCCCACGAGGAUUUGUAAAAGUUACUACUAAUUACCAAAGUCUUUUAAAUUAUGAUCUAUUUGAAGAAUCGAAUGAGAUAGUUUAUGAAACAAAAAUUAAUGAUUAAAAAGGUAACAACUAUUUGAUUAAAUAUUAAUGAAUUCAAUUGUACUGGUUCUAGGAUUUCUGACUUACCGUAACUAUGCCUAUGUGAACUUUCUCAAUUAAAUUAAUUACUCCUAAUGUUGAUAAUCAAGUUUUUCUAAUGUAAAUAUUAAUCUCUCUCGAGCAUCAAUAAAUUAUUUCGACAAACAAAUUUCAUAUACUCUACGAAAGUUCUGAACUUGUCGAUAUUAUUAAGUACUGUAAAACCUGUAACGAUUACAAAAGUUCAUAGGAUAUCUCUAUCCUAUAGAUUUCUUAAGGUAUUUCAAACAAUAGCUAAAACAAUUAUUACUUCUCAGUUUCAAAUUGAAUUCUAAAUCAUGCAAAUGUUGGCCAAACACACGCAAGCAUUACACAUAGAAUGAAAUACUCAACAUCUUAAUGUAAUAAUUCAAUCGAAGAAAUUGUUCACAUAUUCAUAGUAAGGUUACAUCAAAAAUCCCAGAAUAAAAGUCUACUCCAUAGUUAAAUUAAAGAGAAACAAACUUGAUACGAUGAACAUCACUCAAAAGCAGAGAAUUUCCGUCGAAAAGAUAGGUGUCCUCCCGGUUUUUGAAUAGUUUUGCCUCUGCCAAAGGUGUAUUUUCUUUUUCCCUUGGUGCCGCCUCCUCUCUUUUUGUUUUCUAUGUUGUAGGUUUUCCGUCUGUUCAAUCCCCCCCUUUUUCUCUUCUUUUAUAUUGUGGCUUUUCUACCCCUGCAGUAAUGAGGAAAAUUUCCUAUUCUGCAUUAAAUUCCUUCCUACUCAGACAUUGCGGGCCCGAUUUGAGGUAGAAAAAGUGCGAAUUAGAGGAUCUAUAUUUCUGGAGAAAUUGUAGAGAAUCAGAUUUUAUUUCCAACAAAACUGAUCUUGCAAUUUUUGGACGUCUGAGUGCUGAGAUAAGGGCCAUAAACCGAAGCAGUCUUUGCAGUGCAGGAGUUUCGGGCUGGUUCAAUCCUUGUUUUUCAACUCGCUUUUUGGGCUUCGAAACAACAAAACUGAGUUAUAUGCCCUUCAUAUGUUUUGUAGACCUUCAUCUCAGCUAUUUGAAAAUGGUUACGAACAUCCGGAACUAAUUGUAUAGCUUCUUUGCAGCACAUAAUGAAUCACUGUUCAGUUUCACUGCCCGGCUCUGCCUGUUUAGUAACCUAAGAUCUGAAAACACAUUAAUUUCCCACGAGGUCAAUAGUUCAAAAAGAGAUUCAAAAUUCUAAUUUUCUUGUUCAACAUAUCCAAAAUAUUUAAAAAUCAAGCAUGAAUAGCGAAAAAUAUACAUGCUAAAAAUUCCCUUAUCACCUACCCAGGGGGAAGAAUGCCUCAUUAUUAUGGGUGACCUACCCAGGUAAAAAGAUGAAGAAUGGUCUCAUUCUUAUGGGUGACUGAUUAGUACUUAAAAGUGCAUAUUUAUCAAGGUUUUAUAUCAUCAUUUUGUACUUAAAGUAUCAAUGACUCUUUAACUAAAGCAUGUUUUAUAAUAAAAAUUCUAAUACUAUAAAAUGCCCUAAUAUAUGGUAAAUGUUCAUCUUAAAUGCAGGCCUAUCACAUAAAUCAAAGGAUUGAUUGAUGAAUUCAACUACUGAAAUUUGUGAAGAUAAAGAGAGGGUGAAACUUAGAAAAGAGAUGUUGGUGCAGUCCAAACUGGAACACUGUUCGGUAUUUGGGUCAUAUCUCGAGUUCUAGAUGUCCAAAUGAUCUCAUAUUUUUACACAAACUUGGUGAGAAAUAGGCCUACAACUUUAAUGUGAACAUAAAAAUCUAACAAGGCCGUUUUCAAGUCCAAAUCAUAGCAACAACAGAGAAGUCCGAAUCUGUCCUACAGCCCAAACACUGUUCAGUGUUUGGCCCAUAUUUGGAGUUCUAGAAGUCCAAAUCACCUCCAUAUUUUUUCCUGGAAAGCUGAGUCAAUUUCCUACAACUUUCAUGUUUUCCAGAGGAUCCAGUUCGGAUGGUAGCAUUUUUGUUUUAUUCAGACAAGAAGAUAAGGAUUUUCACCAAGUCAAAAGUUGGCCACCCACUCAACAAUUAUUCAUCAAAUCAAUAAUUCCGAAUUUUAGCCUAUAAAAGGAGGCAUUUGCCAUGUAUUUUGGGGGCUUGGUUGUUCAGAUCAAGUUCAUGCUCUUUAUUUCUCUCUUUAUAUUUUUUGUAAUUCUUAAGUUUUGCUUUCAUUAAUUUCUUGUUUAUGCUUUUCAUUUCCUUUCCUUUUCUUAGUUAACUUGUAUCUUAUUUAUGUUCUUGUUUUGUUUAUUUAUGUUUCUCUUCUUCAUUAUAUUUAGCUAAGUUUAUUAUGUCAAGGUGAAAAGGUUACACUAAUGGUGUAAGAACAAGUAUGGUGUAAACUCAAUAUGGAUCUUAAUAUUUAAUAUUAACAUGUCUUAUCUUUUUAUCUUACUAAUUCUUAAUACCUUGCUUGUUAAAUGGUUAAUCUAGAUUUGUGUUGUAUAACAUUUGGUACAGCAAAUGCUUGGCACUCUCAUAGCCCAACAGUAUGGUAUUACCUACACCUGGGCUAUGAAAAUAACUUGAUUUGUUGUUAACAUCAGUUAAUAUCAUGAAUUCCUGACAAUAUUUAAAAGUUUGGUGUUAUGUAAUUAAGAUAAUUAAUAUGAUCAUGUUAAUAAUUUAUAAUGAGCUAUUAAUGACAAAUCAUCCGAUUGGAACCUCCUUCAUGUGUGGUUUCCAAAUUGAGUAAUAAGAGUUUAUACUAUACUUGUUUGAAAUACCAUUGGUGGAUCCUCUAACCUUGACAUUUGUUUUUAUCAUUGUUUAAUCCUUACAUUAAUCUUCCAUCUCAAAGUUCUCAUUAAUUUCUUCCUCCUCCUCUUCUUUUAUUAUUAUUAUUGUCAUUACUAUUACUAACACUAUUAUUAUUAUUAUUAUUAUUUUAUUAUUUUAUUGUUAUUGUUAUUAUUAUUAUUAUUAUUAUUACUAUUACUAUUAUUAUCAUAAAUCAGUAUAUAGGCUGGAAACCUGUGACCCGAUCUUUUAGAUAUUCUCAGGUAUAACAACGCCACGUAGUGAGUAUUAUUAUUAUUACUACUUACUACUACUACUACUACUACUACUACUACUACUAUUAAUAUAUUAUUACUAUUACUAUUACUAUUAUUAUUAUUAUUAUUGUUAUUGUUAUUGUUGUUGUUGUUUUCUUGUUAUUUAUAAUUUAUACAAUUAACCUCUCUGUGGUUCGACCCCGGUCUUGCCGGGUUAUUUAUUACUUCGACACUCCUGCACUUGGAGAAGACAUCAAUUUUUUGGUCGUGUCAGUAACCUACCCAAAAAAUAAUGGUCUCAUUGUGAUGGGUGACCUACCCAAGUGGAAAAGGGAAGAGUGGUCUCAUUCUUAUGGGUGACCUACCCAGGGGGAAGAAUGACCUCAUUAUUAUGUGUGACCUACCCAGGUAAAAAAGAUGAAGAAUGGUCUCAUUCUUAUGGGUGACCUACCCAAAGAAAAUAAUGGUCUCAUUGUGAUGUGUGACCUACCCAAGUGGAAAAAGGAAGGAAAAUGGUCUCGUUUUAACGGGUGACCUACCCAGCUUAAACUUCAAAAGGAAACAUCUUACCUCGGGGGAAUGAAAUAGUGCUGGUUCAUAAUUCAUAUUCUUUUCGUAGCUCUGUUGAUCUAUAUCUUAGUGAUUCCCCAAAACUUGGAACUAAUUUGGGAUUUCGUCCCACCUUCCUGCCAGGUUAGUGUUAUGACAAUAUAAUAUGCAUGUUUUUGUUACCUAUCUUGGAAACAUAGGUCCCCCUUUCGUUGCAAACCUCUUCGAACUAUCGUUUCCAUUUGUUUGUCCAAACUUUCUCAUGAACCGAAAUAUACUUCAUAUCCUCUUAGUGAAAAGAUCUCUAGUUCCUUAUGGGGCCCUUUCUUGCUCCAUUGAAUUUUGUGCUUUAUUAUUUUAAAAGGAAAAAUUGGUUUUGUUCAUGAAAACUGAAACUUUUAAUGCAAUUAGCAAUUCUCAUAAAAGAUGCCCUUUUUUAGAAAUUUUUAUUAUGAUACCCCUUUCGGACUUGGGUUCACUAUGGACCCCUAUGUGCACUUCGUGCACUUUUUGCCCCCUAGUGUGAUGUGCAACUAUAUGUCAAGCAGAUUUGAUUUGGUUCUCUCCAAUUGAUGGAGUCAUCUCCUUAGUCAUGCGUAAGAAGUUCUUUUAAGUAAAAGCAUUUCAAAUGCUAUGAGAUCAUAUGUUUUGUAUAUAUAUAUAAAAGAAAGCUCUUUACAAAGAGAAUUCAUGGCCGGACUUUAUUUUAUUGACUGGGAAAUUAUGAAAUACAUCAAACAUAGUAUUUUUUAAAAAUAAAUUUUUACACAACUUUUCAGAAUAGUAAAAAAUUCCUUUACGUAUCUCAAGUCGCCGUAAUUUAAGCAUGUUUUCUUGGUUUAAACAAUAUAUAUUUAUAUAGAUAUAAAUAUAUAAUAUUAAAGUCAAUUUCUAUCAAAUGUGUUAAUAUAGUGUGUUGACAAAGCAUUUUUAUUUAAAACAGAAGCUAUCAAUAUUUGAUUCUUAGUUUAAAUAAAAAAAAUUUAAGUUAAACGAUCAGCUCCUCAAACAAACUGAGAUAGGAUUGCAUCAGAAUUAAACUUGGGUUCCAUGGAGAAUACUGCAGCGGGGACGGGACAGUAAGUAUUGCUUGAGCAUUUAAAAUGUUUUUUUAAUAUAUUAAUAUAAUAUUUUUAUAAAAAUAUAAAAGAAUAUAUUAUUUUUUUUUCUUAAAAAACUCAAAUUCUACCCCAGAGUCUUCUUUUCCGCGGAUGACACGUUAAACUUGGGCUCUGUGGAAAAAAGGACGGGACAGCAGUGAAAGGAAAAAGAUAACUAGACUUGUGUUCUUCGUCUUCGCUAUUAUUUUUUUCUAAGACCUGUUUGGCUGCUAAAAAUUAUUUUUUUAUGAAAUAUAUAUUUUUAUUUUUUAAAAUUUUUGUUUAUACUUUUCUCCUGCAUUGUUAAUUAACUGGGCUGAAAAUAGCUAGAUAUAUAAAAAGUUUAAGAAUACCCUAUGAAAAUUUAGUAAAUUCCCAUAAAAACUCAAAAAAAAAAAACAUGUUUAACCAGUUUUUAUUAAAAAAAAAAAAACCAAACAGUUCAGUUGUGAUAUUUUUUUUAAUAUUUUUUUAAAUAAAAAUAAUUAAAAAACAACUACAAUAAAACUAUCAAACACCCCCUAAUAGAUUCAUACUUUCCACCGUGUGAACAUGUUGACAAUGGCUACGAGACAACAUAAAAAAAAUCGAAUCAGUCUUGUGUUCUUCGUCUUUCGCUCUUAUUUUUGUCCAAGUGCAUUCAUACUUUCCACCGUGUGAACACGCUGACAAAGGCUACGUACGAUACAAGAUAAAAAUCAAAUCAGUCCAGAAAUUAUUAGCUAAAGGUUGGGAAAAAAUUCAAAAGCAGCCGCCAGCCAAGCAAAUGCUAAAUCACUAGUAAAGUUAACCGAUCAGAAAUAUUUAUGGGACCAAGAAAUCUUUGCACGGUCUCAUUCUGGGACCAUAUACCAUGUAGCAUUCAAGACUCUUUUUUUUUUUUUUUUUAAAUAUAGCUAGAAAGAUAAAAAUAUUUAAAAAAUAAAACACUUUGAUUUAAUAUUUUAUAACCAUUUUUUUUAGUGUUAAAAUAUGGAUGGUCACAUAUUUUAUAUUUACUUUUUUUUUUAACCUUCUCUUUCCUUUCAAAUUAUAAUAACUAUCGAAACCUAACAUGAAACCUAGAAAGCAUAUAUAGGAACUAAAAGUUCAAAAAAAACUUUGGGAAUAAACUAUAAUUUUCCAUGCUUCAUAACCAAUAAAAAAAGAAAAAAAGGUUUUUUUGUUUGUGUCAAACUCAGUGUUGUAUAUAUAUUUUUUGAAUUGAUAAAAUUAAAUUAAGUUUUAUAAAAUUGAUGAUCAAUUUAAUGCCAUGAUAGUUUUUUUUAUAUCAUGAAUACAGCACCACAUGCAAACCAAGCCCAACUGUCAUGUUAAAAUUAUGUGAAGAGAAUGAAAUUGAAAAUAAUAAUAGUAAAAUGAAUCGGAAUUAGAUGCACUGACUGCAAAUAGGAUAAUUGUGCAUAAUUACUUGCUUUUCUAUCACUGUCACUGCAUAAAUUCCAGCUUUUCUGUUCAAAAAACUUCAGAUCUUUUGUCCAUGCAUGUAUUUGACGCUAAAAGUUAAUCAAUGGCUACAGGAAAAGCUUUUAUAUAUUAUGUGUGUGAUGAUUCACAAAAAAAAAACCAAUCCAGCAUAGUUCAAUAAAUAAUUGUUGCAUGCAGAUGAUAUAUUGAUUGGUAGUUGAAUUAGAGUAUUUUUCUUUCGAUAACUUUAGUGGAUUCACUUUUCUCCUUGCAUGCAUUGUUAAUUAACUUGGGCUCAAAAUAACUAGAUAUAUAAAAAGCUUUUUAAAAAACCCAUAAAACUAAAAAAAUUAAAGGUUUAAAAAAAACCUAGGAAAAGUCAGUAAAAUCCCAUAAAAACUCAAAAAAAAGCAAAACAAGUUUUGCUAGUUUUUGUUAAAAAAAACCAAACUAUCAUAACUUAAAGCUUUUUUAGUGAAAGGUUUCCUUUUUACGAUAUAGAAAAAGAAGGCAGAUAAAUAUAUACUCGAGUGAGUCACAUAUCAAGGACAAAACUUGAUUGAUCCUGUGCAUGGCCAUGAUAUUUUUUCUCUAAGACAAGACCGCUAAAAAGAAAUGGUACGAUAGAAGAAGUGGCCAUGGACAAUGAGGUAAGGGGAAAUGGCCGGCCAUGGACUACUAUAAAGUCCGAAUCAAGAUGUGAAAGAAAGGAAAGGUGGAAGAGAGCCCUCUGUCUUUUAGUGGUGAUAUUGGUAUUAGCAAGUUAGCCCACUACUAGCUACCGGUAAAUAUCUUUGCAUUCAAACUGCGAGAAUACUUGUCUAAAACGAUUACUUUUAGAAAGAUUACAGGCAUAUAUGGCUUCCAUACCAUUGGCUUAACACUAACAGCAUAGGUAAUGAAAUUGUGAAAAACAUUUAUAUAAAAAUUGAGUUUUUCAUGAUCGUUCUUGGUUGAUGGUGUGGUUGGGCUUUGUAGGUUCAUGAGCUUUUUUACAAAAUAAAACCCUUGUAAACAAUAAAAAACUCUUUGAUACUAAAAUUAGUAAGUAUAAGAGUGUAGAGUGUGCAGAGUUUUUGUGUGUAUAAUGGAAGAGACUAUUUUAGUUGUAUUUUUAGGACUUGUCUCUUGUAGAACUUGGCUCUAGCUUUGUGUGGCUUAAAACUGAUAUCUUGCAAGGCUAAAGCUUUCAAUGGCUAAGAGUAGCUUUAGCUUUCUAUAUAUAUUAUAUAUAUAUAUAUAUAUAUAUGGAGACUGGGUGUAGUCUGUGAACUUAUCUUAUGGAGAAAAAAAAUAUUUUCAUAGAAAAUUAAGUCAUUAGAUGAUGUGCCUUGCUUGUUAUUAGUGAAGAUAUUGGUGCCAAUAUUUUCUUACAGAUUUGUAAUGUGUUAUGGAGUUUUUUUUUUAUUUAUUUAAAUUACAUUCAUUCUUCAUAAAUUAUUGGAUAUCCCUUGGAUAUCAACCUUUUUAUCUCUCCUUUCAGGGCAUGAUAUUCUUUAAUAUCAUGAUUAAAGUCAUGAUGAAAAUGACAUAACUUGUUAAUGUUUUUUAUGUUAAUACCACUCUUCAUGAAAGAUGGAUAUCAUACAAAAUCUCUUCCCUAGAUGGAAUCCAACACCUAUGUAUGCAUAGUGGUGAAUGAUGCAUGUUAAGAAAUCAUAAAUGGAUCCCUUAUUACUUUUCUUUAAUGUCGUAGUAGAAGAUUGAUGAUAUUGUGGAGAUUCUACCCUCUAGAAAUAAAGGUAUUCUUAUACUGUCACACUUGCUUCCUCCAUCCAAAUAUGAUUUUUUAUUACAUGAUUUUUAUUGACAAAAAUUUUGUCAUAAAAAUUAUAGAAGCAUUCCCAUAAUGAAUAUUUAUAGAAUCCACUUAUUAGAGCCUAAGUGGCGAUAAGUUCACAUAGAUUAUUCGUAUUUACAAUUUAUUUGUUGAAUCUUUAAAUAUAUGCUUUGUGCUUUCAUUUUUUUAUUGUGUAAUGAUGAAGAGCUUAAUCGUGCUAUUUUUACUUGGUAUACUAGUGUUAAAAUAAAAGGUUAGCUUAAUAUACAAAUUAUAAAGAUCAAAUAUAAAGCCAAGAUUAAUAUUGUGAUACCAUAUCCGAGCAGGAUAUUUUAUUGGUCUGCUUGGAUAUGGUAUCACAAUAUAUAUUCUCAAAAAGCAUGCGAGCAAGAGUCAGAGAAAAUUGAUGGAGAUAGUUAUGUCUAAGAUAUGUUAUAGAGUAAUUUUUAUAACAAGAGUAAUUUUAUCAAAGAGUUGAAGUAUUGUGUAUACUUUACGUGUUAUUUUCAUAUUUCUUCAUGAAACUAGAGUUGUCUUUAUCUUUCGGUGCAUAUGAUGGAUCAAUAUGUUGUAAUUUUUUUUUUUUUAUGAAAUGGAAGAGUGUGAAGUUAUUAUUUUAUAACUAAAAUAAUAUUGUUGAGCACCUAUACUUGAUGGGUAGGUUUCUGAAGACUUGAAGUUCUUGUCGCACCCUCGCUAGAGCGCGGCAAUCCUUCCCGGGAGCGGGGAUUCAUGUCGGGGUCUUUGUUUUAUGAAAAAAGGACAUCGACACCAAUUUGUUUAUAGGAGGGGGCGAUAGGCAUCAAACUCGGAUUCAAGAAUGCCUAGCCUGCGCCGAGGAAGCCAACGUGAAAAAUUCGAGAUGCCUGCUAGAAAAUUUUAAACUGUAUUGAAAUUCUUAAAAUUGGCAAUAAAAAUUUAUGAUACAUAUAAAUUAGAGAAAAAAAUGUGACAAUUAGAUGCAUAAUAUUAAAGUGACUUAUUAUGUGUGAUAUGAAAAUCAGUUUAAUAACGUAACAAUUAUGUUCAAAUGUUAAACAAAUUCCUAGAGUUUUAAUUAAAAAAAAACAAUUAUAAUAUCAACAAUUAAAAAGAAACUAUUAUGAGCAUCAAAUAAAUAAAAAUCUCCAAAUAACUAAGAAACUAUUAACGUUAACCCUAUUUAUGACACUGAUGCAUACCAACCGUUCCUUUAAUUCUUGCCUUGGAUCCAAAGUCUAAAAUUUAAAUUUGACUGACAACCUUCGUGGAAAGUUCAAUUUUUGAAGUAGCUUGGCCUUCUUCGUGUAUUGCAGCUGCUCUUGAACAUAAAGACACUCGAAAUGAUUGUCCUAGCUUGUCUUCCUCGAGGUCAAUUUCUCUGCCCCACUUGCUUCUUUUCUGUCUCCACUCGUUUUUUUUUAUGGUUAGAGCUGGACCAUAAUCUCCUUAUCUUCAAGUCAGAUGCAUGAAACAUGUUUUUUUUUUUUUUUUUUUUUUUCCAGUUUAAAAUUAAAUUAUAUUCUCUAACAAUAGAAAAGAGAUUCCUUUUGGUUUUAUAUAUUUUUUAAAAAAGUUUUUUUAAAAAAUAGAUUAAAUUCAUAUGUAUUUUAGUGUUUUUUAAUGGUUUUGAUAUAUUAAUUUUAAAAAUAAAAAAAAUAUUAUUUUAAUAUAUUAAAAAAAACAUUUAAAAAUUUACCAUAGAUAUCAAACAUUCACCAAGUCUCAUGCAAUUUUAUCUAGUAGCUAAUUAAUGCAGCAACUUACCGGAUAGUACGUAACUUGUAAUAGUACAACCUCGAAAGUCGAAACACUUCAAAACUAAAAUACAUUGUUACAGUUGAAAAAACAAAAUACCAACUACAAGAAAAUAGACGACCUUGGUAUAAUUAAGGUGGUGACAGUGUAGACUAGCAAGAAGGGCUGGUUGAUAUUUCCUUUCUCUUGGCGUUGGGCCAAAUUUGAUUCUGUUUCUUGUAUCACCUUUGUCUUUGAAUUUGUAUCUUCUGGCUCAAAACGUAAAAAUGUUUUUGAAUUUUUUUUGUAUUUUUAAAUAAUUUUAAUGUAAUGAUAUAAUAAUAAUUUUAAAAAAUAAAUAAAUAUUUUUUUAAUAUAUUUUCAAAUAAAUAACAUUUAAAAAUCGAACCUCAAUAAAUAUCCUGUCCAUCUCCAGAGAAGCAACAGACCAAAUAAAUCAGCAGCUUGUGAUCAGUUGAGGAGUGUAACCUCUUACCUUUGAGCCACAGUGAUUUCUCCUGCCCUUUAUUUGGUUACAUUUCAUUUAGUCAAUUCUCUAAGCUACAAAAUGGAUUCUUCUGAGAAAAUGAAUAGCAUCGAUCCCUAUAUGGAUCCUGUCUUGUACAAAGCUGCGGAAGAAGGCAAUAUCGAUCCCUUUGAGAAUUAUCAAACCUGCCUCAAAGUAUUUUCAAACAAAAUAUAUAUUAAUUAAAAAUUUGAAAAUCAAAUUUUAUAUAACCAGCAAAUAAUAAGAUAUUUUUAAAUUUUUCAUAAUUUUUUAAAAGUAUUUUCUAUCCAAAAUAAAAUGAAAAUACUUUUUUAAAAAAUUAAGCUAAAUUGUUUUUACUGAAAAAUAUUUUCUUUUAAUCAAUAUUUUUAAUAAAAAAUAAACACAAAAAUAUUUAGAAAAUAGCAAUUAUCGAGAAUUUUUCUCAUCAGUACCUACACUCCAUCAAUAUACAAAUUACUCUUACAAGUUUAACGUCACAUGGUUAAAAGAGUCUCAGGGAACUUGCCAACAAUUUGUUUACUGGAGGGGGCGAUGGGCCUCAAACUCGGAUCCAAGGAUGCCUAGCCUGCGCCAAGUAAGCCGACGUGAAAAAUUCGAGAUGCCUGCUAGAAAAUUUUAACCUGUAUUGAAAUUAUUAAAAUUGGCAAUAAAAAUUUAUGAUAGAUAUAAAUUAGAGAAAAAAAUGUGACAACUAGAUGCAUAAUUUUAAAGUGACAUAUGAUGUGUGAUAUGAUAUUCAGUUUAAUAACCUAUGUUCAAAUGUUAAACAAAUUAAUUCCAAGAGUUUUAAUUAGAAAAAUAAUUAUAAUAUCAACAAUUAAAAAGAAACUAUUAUGUGCAUCAAAUAAAUAAAAAUCUCCAAAUAACUAAGAUAAAUACUUAAAACUCAUAAACUUGAAAUGUUAUGUGUGUGUGUGUGUGUGUGUGUGGAGGAUUUGGGGAUUUAUUGUGUUAUGCAAAAAAAACAAAAAAAGGUUUGUUUAAUUCAAAUUCAAAUAGUUGCUGUAUAAGUUGGAUGAUUAAUUACAAUAAAUUCAGAGGCAAAUCAGCCAGGUAUAUUCUUAAAUUCAAAGUGGCAGAAAAAUCUGAACCAAAUAAAAUGCCAACCAGAACAAAAUAGACUAGCAAGAAGGGGUGGUUGAAAUUUCCUUUCUCUUGGCGUUGGGACAAAUUUGAUUCUUUUUCUUGUAUCAAAUAGUUGCUGUAUAAGUUGGAGGAUCUGAUUUUAUGGUUGCUGAAGGUGCGUGCUAAAAACGCUACAAUUUUUUUUUUCUCUCUCAAAAUCUGAUCUAUUUUUUUCUUUUUUCUGUUUUCGGAGGUGGAUGGAGGCUAGUGUCUGAUACCUCAGCUCUUUAACUCAGCUCAAGGUCCUUCCUUUGACCAAGUCCAAGAGAGGUUUGUUGGGACCCUUAAACUGGAUUCAUCAAUACUCAUCUUUAUGAGUCUUUUCUGUCCUCUUUUUUCUUAUGGUUAAAGCUAGACAACAAUCUCCUUAUCUUCAAGUCAAGAUGUUUUAACCAUGUUUUUUCAAAUUUUUAUUUUUUUCAUUUUGGAAAUUAAAUUAUAUUUAAUGUUUUUGAAUUAUUUUAAUAUGCUGCUAUUAAAAUUAAAUUUUAAAAAUAAUAAAAAAUAUUAUUUUAAUAUAUUUUAAAAAUACUGCAAAAACAUGUGAAGUAUUAAAAAAAUAAAAUUCUAUGAUCUUUUAACAGUUAUUCAACAACUAAUCACUAAUAAUUAUUUGGUUUUAAUACCAAUUAAUGCAAACAGAAGUGAAAAAUAAUAAAGUUUGUUACAAGUCAAAACUUUCAAAGAUCAAGAAUACUAUAAUUAUAGAGAAACUUUUAAAAUACUUAAUUUUAUUUAUUCAUAUUGUCUCACUUAUCAAAAAGCUAUUUUAAAGAAAAUAAAAAAAAAACCCUAAUAAUAUUGAAUAUGAAAAAUAAAAUAAAAUAAACUAUUCUCUUUUCUUCAAGUAGAAAAAAAAACUAGAAAAGGUUAAUAAUAAAAAAAACUUCUUAAGAAAAAUAUUUAUUUUCUAAAGCAACUCAUGCAUAAAAUUUCAAUUUGUCUACCUUAAUAAAUUUUUUAUUUUAGUUUUCAAGUAACCACAUUACGAGGGAUGAUAGCUCGAAUACUUGAUAACCUACCAUACCAUGAUUCGUUGAGCUAUUGGCCAGAAAACACGAUAGUUGGUCCACGCAUAAGAGCGAUUAUUUGCAUUAAACAUCUUAAUUUGUUUUAUUCUAAGAUAAUAUAUAUGUGCGUUAUUAUAACCUCUUUAACUUAUAAAUAUAUAUAACCAUAUACCAAAUCAGCUUUGCAACUUAAACUCACCAUGACGAAUUCAAUUGUACAAAUGAAUUUCUCCUCAUCAAUACCUUAUCUCUUUCCCCUCUUCACGACUAUGACGGCUACUGUUUUGCCUUGACAGUGUUACCAAUGGAGAGAUCACAUUAAGCAAAUUAGUAUGCAAGAGAGACUCAAUCAACUCUUAAAUUAUCACAGGGACUUGAACAACUAACUGGUUAUAUUACAAGGAUGGCACUGAUUAUUAACCCAAUUUCACUCUUGUAUAUAGUACCUCCCUCAUCUUUAUCUUUCAAGCGUCAUCUUCUCAAAAUAUGGCUCAAUCUCAUUCUGUAAAAGUCAUCGAUCGUGUCCAAGUCUCGCCACCACCAGGCUCAGUAUCCACCACCUAUCUCCCUCUCACUUUCUUCGACUUUCCAUGGCUUCUCUGCCCUCCCAUGGAACGCCUUUUCUUCUAUGAACUUCCUUACCCUACUCUUUACUUCAUGCACAACAUCUUGCCUAGCCUUAAAAACUCUCUUUCCCUUGCUCUUCAACACUUUUUCCCUCUUGCCUCCAAUCUUAUGUGCCCACAAGCACCUCAUAAACCCUAUAUCCUCUUCAAUGAUGGGGACUCAAUCCCAUUCACAAUUGUUGAGUCAACGAUGGAUUUUGACCAAAUCAUCGGAGACCAGGCUGGAGAUGUGACAGAACUGCACACUUUUGUCCCUAAGUGGCCUCCCACACGCGUGACAUCAGAUGGCAAACGUGUGGUGCCACUUCUUUCCUUGCAAGUAGUUGUGUUUCCAAAUUCAGGUAUUUGCAUGGGUGCCAAAUUUUGCCAUGUGGUAGCUGAUGGGAUGGCUUUUAACCAUUUCAUGAAAUCUUGGGCGUCCAUUUUUAGGUCCAGAGAAAACAUGGCUUGCCUUGAAAAGUCAAUGCUGCCGUCUCAUGACAGGUCGGGGAUCAAAGACCCAUUCGAGCUUGAUUCCAUUUUUUCAAAGGAGUGGUGGAGUUGGUUUUCAUCUCGGGAUUAUAAUUUGGGAUCAAACCACGAUGAUCAACUUAGAGACAAGGUUAGGGUCACGUUUACGAUAGGCCAAACGCACAUUGAGAGGCUGAAAGAUCUGGUCUCCAUUCAAUGCAUGAAAAACUAUCAAGAGCAAGUGCAUGUAUCAGCGUUUGUGGUAGCAUGUGCCUUUAUAUGGGUUAAUAUGAUCAAGUCACAAGAGAAGGAGGCAAGUGAUUUAGUUGAUAAUGACAAGGUUUACUACUUCGUUUUUGUGGCAGAUUGUAGACACCGUCUUGAAGUUAAACUACCAGCAACAUAUUUUGGAAACUCUCUAGCAAUAUGUUAUGUUCCUGCAAAGAAGAGUGAGUUACUUGGAGAAAAUGGGAUCAUCAUGGCAGCUAGAGAAAUUGGUAAGAAGGUCAAGGAAUUGGAGAGUGGGGUUUUUGUGGGGGCAGAGAAAUGGAUAUCAAACUGGAAAGAAGUGUCUGAACAUGGCAGGCUAGUUACUGUUGCUGGGUCACCUAAGUUACGUGCUUACGAGACAGAUUUUGGGUGGGGGAGGCCGAAAAAGACUGAGGUUCUCCAUGUUUAUGCUUCAGGUGGUUUCCAUCUUUGUGAAUGUAGAGAUGGAGGAGGUGGAGUUGAGAUUGGCUUGGCACUUCCUCAGGGUCAAAUGGAUGUCUUCUGUGGCAUCUUUGAACAAGGUAAGCGGAAUCUGAUUUGAGUGUGGCUUCUUGUCUACUUAAGAAAUUCGCAACACGCUGUACUUUAUGUUAAGGAAAUAAAGAGCAAAGCCAAGAAACGAAUAAAUUUAUAUGUGUUUACCACUUGUUUAUAUAUAUAUUUAAAAAAAAAAAUUGAUUCAAAACCGGAAAUACUCAGCCUUAUUUUACAGCUGUGUGCACGUACAGCCAGGAAAUUCAAAUCCCAUUCUUGCACGGAGAAAUUUCCUUGAUCAUCUCAUUCAUCAAAACUUUAUAAUUUUUUCCGUGCUCUUUAUAAUUUUUUUUUUGGACGCAUAGAAAAUUCAGAAGAUUGCUAAGCUUGUUAGGAUAAUUUGGACCAGAGAAUGGAAAGAACGAAUUGCUGCUGCGGGCUGUGGGAAGUCUGUGUUUGAUAUUAUAACACAGGAAAUUUUUUUGAAAAUAUUUUUUAUUUAAAACAUAUUAAAACAAUUUUUUUAAUAUUUUUACUUUAACGCAUUAAAACUAUCAAAAAUAAAAAUCAGAAAAUAAUUACUUAGCCAUCAAACUACUGUUAGUCAUCAACAGUUGAAUAAAUGAACCUUGUAAUGGGAUGAAAUAAUUGACUAAUGAUAGUGUAUUAAAAUGAAGCCAAAGGACAUCUGUUAAGCAACUAUGAGGGCUACUGUUUUUCCUUGAUGGUUUUAACAGUGGAGGGACUAUAUUAAGCAAAUUAGUAUAGUAUAGGGACUCAAUCAACUAUGAAAUUAGUAGAGCGACUAGAUUGUACGAGGCUAUGUUAGAAGGAUGUCAAUCCAUCGUCAGUAUCUCAUCUCUUUCCUCUUCGCAAAAAAUGGCUCAUUCUCAUCCUACUUUGGUUUCCUAAGUAGACAUGAAGAAUGGUGUUCUCGUCUGGAGUCAAUAACUGAUUGAGGCAGCUUUGAUAAUUCUCAAAGGGAUCGAUAUCGCCUGCUUCCGCAGCUUUGAACAAGACAGGAUCCAUAUAGGGCGUCAUGCUAUUUUAUAGCUUAGAGAAACUCACUAAAUGAAAAGUAAACAAAUGAAGGGGAGGUGAAAUUAACCACUGUGGCUUAAAGGCAAUUAAGAGGUUCCACUCCUCAACUGAUCACAAUCUGCUGAUUUCUUCGGUAUUUAAAGGAAGAAAAAGCGUUAAUAACCACAAAUUACAUUUAUUUUGUAGCUUAGAGAAACUAACUAAAUGAAAUGUAAGCAAAUGAAGGGGAGGUGAAACCACAAAGGUAAGAGGUUCCACUCCUCAACUGAUCACAAAGGUAAGAGGUUCCACUCCUCAGACCUGAUUUAAAAUCAAAAACUAUUUUACAUUUUGAGCAGAAACGCGGAUUAUAGUGUUUGGUUUUUUUAAAAAAAGAAGCUUAAGUUAGUUUUUAAUUGUGGGGGCACACCAAAAGCAUCCUUUACAAGUUUUUUUUUUUUUAAUACUUCACAUGUUUUUGCAGUAUUUUGAAAUAUAUUAAAAUAAUAUUUUUUAUUAUUUUUAAAAUUUAAUUUUAAUAGCAGCAUAUUAAAAAAUUCAAAAACAUUAAAUAUAAUUUAAUUUCAAAAUAAAAAAAUAAAAAUUUGAAAAAACAUGGUUAAAACAUCUUGAACUUGAAGAUAAGGAGAUUGUUGUCUAGCUUUAACCAUAAGAAAAAAGAGGACAGAAAAGACUCAUAAAGAUGAGUAUUGAUGAAUCCAGUUUAAGGGUCCCAACAAACCUCUCUUGGACUUGGUCAAAGGAAGGACCUUGAGCUGAGUUAAAGAGCUGAGGUAUCAGACACUAGCCUCCAUCCACAUCCGAAAACAGAAAAAAGAAAAAAAUAGAUCAGAUUUUGAGAGAGAAAAAAAAAAUUGUAGCGUUUUUAGCACGCACCUUCAGCAACCAUAAAAUCAGAUCCUCCAACUUAUACAGCAACUAUUUGAUACAAGAAAAAGAAUCAAAUUUGUCCCAACGCCAAGAGAAAGGAAAUUUCAACCACCCCUUCUUGCUAGUCUAUUUUGUUCUGGUUGGCAUUUUAUUUGGUUCAGAUUUUUCUGCCACUUUGAAUUUAAGAAUAUACCUGGCUGAUUUGCCUCUGAAUUUAUUGUAAUUAAUCAUCCAACUUAUACAGCAACUAUUUGAAUUUGAAUUAAACAAACCUUUUUUUGUUUUUUUUGCAUAACACAAUAAAUCCCCAAAUCCUCCACACACACACACACACAUAUAUUACAUUUCAAGUUUAUGAGUUUUAAGUAUUUAUCUUAGUUAUUUGGAGAUUUUUAUUUAUUUGAUGCACAUAAUAGUUUCUUUUUAAUUGUUGAUAUUAUAAUUAUUUUUCUAAUUAAAACUCUUGGAAUUAAUUUGUUUAACAUUUGAACAUAGGUUAUUAAACUGAAUAUCAUAUCACACAUCAUAUGUCACUUUAAAAUUAUGCAUCUAGUUGUCACAUUUUUUUCUCUAAUUUAUAUCUAUCAUAAAUUUUUAUUGCCAAUUUUAAUAAUUUCAAUACAGGUUAAAAUUUUCUAGCAGGCAUCUCGAAUUUUUCACGUCGGCUUACUUGGCGCAGGCUAGGCAUCCUUGGAUCCGAGUUUGAGGCCCAUCGCCCCCUCCUGUAAACAAAUUGUUGGCAAGUUCCCUGAGACUCUUUUAACCAUGUGACGUUAACAGAGAAUAAUAGCAGUAAUAAUAUCAUUAAUAGUAACCUUAUUAAUAAGUUAAAUGUUGAGUACUGAGAGAAUAUGAAAUGUGUUUAACAAAAAAAAAGUUAAUUUGGACUACGCUGAUCAUUUUGACUACAAGCUUAAGAUUAUCACAAGCGUAUAAUUGUUCAAGGGUUAUAUGAAUAGAUCACAUGUUGAUGAAGUAAGUUUGAGGCUUACAAUUCAUUGCUUUAAAAUCUAAUGGAAGAGAAAUAAUUUGUUAAUUUUUUUAUAAUGCAAAUUUUUAUAUAAAAAACUGGAGUUGAUAUUUAAAAUUGUUAUACACAUAAAAUAAAGAAGAAAAAAAAAGGAUUGGAGAGCUUUAAUUGGACAUCCAAGAGAUCAAGGAAUGAAUACAUUGAACUAGAUGAUGAGUUAUUUCCAACACGAGAAAACUGUUUAAUUUUUUAAAAAAAAAGUUUUUGUUUUUUUUUGUUUAGUUUAGAGAAUUAAAUAUUAUGCUUAAUAAUUUUAUUUUUUUCUGUAUAGGGAAUCCUAUAAUAACUCUAUAGUUAUUUAUUAGUAUUUGUUAGGUAAAACUAGAACUAGUAUACAUAUUUUUAUUUGACUUGUAUUUUAGAAGACACACUUGAAAAUAAAUAUCUAAUAAUAAAAUUUUAAAUUUGAAUUUUUAUGCCGUAACCUUAUUAGGCAAAAUUUUGUGUUGUUUAUUAUGUUAUUUUUUUACACAUCAUUUGAUAUCAGAGUCUAACAAUUUCUAAUGGUUGGUUGUUGUUUGAUGAUGAAUAACCAUGGUCGUAAGAGAUCAAAAAAAUAAGAUGUGAUUAUGUAAGAAAGAAUGAGAAAAUCUCUUUCAAGAAAAAAAAACAUUUAGGAGCUAAUAUGUUGUUUUUGUCAACAUUAAUUGUUGUUAUUGAAAAUCAUGGUGAUGAGAUUCAUGAUGUGGUGGCUUGCACAAAGAUAGUGUGUUAGAGAUCUCAAAUAAAGUGAUACGCAUAAAGAUGUUGUGUCAGAAAUCCAUGAUGGGAAAACUCAAAUAAAGCUUAUAACGUAAUUUAGUCAUUUUGUAAUACUUUAAAAAAUAAAUAUCUAAAAAAACCCAUAAAUACAAGUGAAAUAAAUUCUGCUUUGAAGAGCAAGUUAAUCAUUUUAUUAUGCACUAAAAAUAUAAAAGGAUCAUUUUAACCACGAUCAAUUUUAUAAUGACAAAUGAAUCUCGUGAAAGGACUAUUUUUUCCAUAAAUCCCAAUUCAUUGGUUUUUGCUGUAAAGGGAAAAAUCAUCAUUGUAUUGUUUCAAUCCAUAAUGCAAUGAGUCUAUCUCUAUCGUGAAACACUAGUCUCUUUUUGGUUUUUUUUUUUUUAAUAUUUGUAAGUUAAAGAACAUAUAAAAAAAAAUACAUGUUAUUAAAUAAUAAAAGAUGUUUCUUCUCUUAUAAUCAGAUUUUAAACAAUACAACAAGAUUGAAAAAAAUAAAAUUAUGAUGGAUAGUAAGGUAGACGGAAGCCAAAAAAGAAAAGAAAAGAAUGUAAGUAAGAAAAACAAAAUUUAGAUAUAUUGUACAACAUGCUUGAUGCAAAUAAACAUUCUCAUGUGUGAACUAACUAUCGUGACUUUUAUCAUGGUUUGGUAGGAUUCUCAUGGAUUUGAGUGAUCAUCACUUCCAUUGUUAUCAGACAAAUUGGAAUUGCAUUCAAAUUCGAUACUCUUUAAUUCAUUUGAUCUCAUUAUUUUGUCUCUGAAAUGGCUGCUCACACUAGCCGCCAGUAAUGAUUGAUGUCCUUCUUGUUUAAAAAUGUAUUAAAAAUAAUAAUUUAAAAUUAUAAAAAAAUUAUUUUUUUUCUAAAAAACAUGAUAAACCGCUCCCAGACAGGUUGAAAUCCAGGACUAAACAACCUCUAAAUCAUCAUAAUUGACACAAAGGACAAAGUUGUUAAUGAGAAAGAUUUUGUACAUUGGAGUGGAGCGGAGAUAAUUUGCUGCAGCUGAUACUUUGAAUCAACAUCCCAAUUACAGUUAAAAUUGGGUCAUGAUUUCUAUCCCAUGUUCAACUUGUAUCUCAUCACGUUUAAUUCAGUCUCAUCUAAUUAGGUCAAUUCUUCGGCCAGAAUGUUAAGAAAAUCAAACCAAAGUUUAUCUGAUUUUCCAGGUAGAUCAUCCCGCUAUCCUAUCAAUUUGAUUUUCCGGGUAGAUCAUCCAAUUAGACUAAUGCAUAGUUAUGGUUCUGUUCCUGUAUUGUGUUUUAAUCACCAGUGGAACAAAUUAAUAUCCCAUACCAUCUUUGGUGAGUCUCUAAAAUGAUAAGCUAUAUAUGUUUAAAUAAAAAUUUUGAAUAAUUUGUUCUUGUAACAUUACUCAAACAGUUGAUGAUGGCAUCAAUCUCCAAGAAAUGGUGGGUUUUUUCCCCUUUUAAUGCAAAAGGGAAGUUUAAUAGAUGAACAGCAAUCCAAAGACAGUAUGUUGAUGCACACAGAUAUAUUGGCAACGGAGUAUUUAAUAGAAGGAAACAUUUGUGGUACAAAAAAUAAAAAAUAAAAUUGUUUGGAAUAGAAGAAACGAGUAUAUAAACAUGGGAAACAAAGGGGAAACGUAUCUUGAUCACCAUAUCCAAAACAGCAGACUUAAGAAUGCAAAUCCAUAAGCUGUCAUAUGGUUUGCUGAAACAGUGAAGUCUUUCAAGUGUACCUUAAAAGAGAGAGGAAUGACGAUAGCGGAGACUCAUAUAAUUUGAUCUGUGAGGUGAGAGCUGAUUGAACUACUGUCCUACAAAUUGAGGCUCUCCCAAACAUUUUGUUACAGUCUCACUAGCCUUCUGUGAUUCUGCACGUUCCUCUUGUUUCUUCUUUUCCCUGAAAUUCAAAAUCAAUUUAGAAAAAAACAUCACGCAAAUGAUGGAACAGACAAAAAAAAAAAGCAGAACGCCAAAAUCUAUCCGGAAGGAAAAUAAGUAUACACUCAAUUAUGACAAGAGUUGGAACUCUGCAAACUGCAAUCAAUUUUAAACGUUAUGGGCAUUUAAAGAACAUAUUGCAUGGCUCAUCAUGGAUAUCACAGCAAGUUCACAAGUAGAUUUUGGAUUAUAUAACCAUGCACUCUGAUUAAACAUUAACUGUUUUAAGUUUAAUGAAUUAAGAUUUUUUUCCCACUUGUCUGACACUUACAGUUACCGACUCAAAGGAAGUUCUGUACAUGUUAUUUUUGAUACUCCCAUUUUGAGAGGUUGCAUACCAACACUCUAACAGCUAACAGGUGCAGUUCAGAAUGAUGCACAAUUAUGUUUCUGUUUCUGUAUCAUGUAAUAAUCACUAGUGGAAUAAAUUACUGUCCCCUGCCAUUUUUUUUUAAGUAAAGUAAACUGCAUAUAGACAGGAGAUAGAUCUUUACCUAUCUACAUACUCCUUCAGCAACUCUCUUGCUUGAACCAAUUUAGAAAGAAGGCCCCGGUAUACAUCAAGGUCCCGAUCCACACUUCUUUUAUUGAUGUUUAGUGCUGAACAAAGCUUUUGCAUGAAAAUUAAAGAUAAAUGUCAAACUAUCGAGCAAAAAUCUUUGAUACAUAAAGUAAUCAUUGAGGUCUUGAAGCUAUCCAAAUUCGAAAUCUUAAGCACUUAAAUUAAAUUUGGAAAACUCAAGUCCAAGAUCUCUUUGAAUUAGAAAUCCUGCAUACAUCAUAUCUUGUUCAAGGAACUGAAUCGUCAAUAAAAAAAAAUAAGAAGAAAAAAGAUACGAAUGGACAAGUGAUGGAGGGAUAUGAAUUUGGAUACACUUGUCCAUCUGUCAAGAGAAUUGGAACAGGAUUGAAGAUCUCCUGUGAAGAAAUAGGUAUUCUUCCACUUUCAUAAGUGAGAUGUCAUGGUUGUUGUAUCUAUGCACUAAGGAAGCAUAUGGAGUUCUUGAGCUCGUGGAAGGAAUCUCAGAUAUAUAUCCAUCUUCUCCAAAGUUCUUGCCACAACUAGAUACUCUAGAGGAAAAUCCUUGGUCUUGGAUUUGAGGGUAAAAUGGGCCAGGUUAUUAGGAACAGAAAAUUUUCUGGAUUUGAUGAACUAAAACACAUUCAAAACAAUGAAAAUCACUAGAAACAAAGAUUUAAAAACUUUGUAAGGCACUCAAUACAUUACAUGGAUUGCAAUAGAGAAGGAAUGCAACAACCUACCUUUUCUAGUACUGUCGGUUCACUAGCAUUUGACAGCUCAAGAAGGCGAAAUAACCCAACAGCAAAGAAACGGCUGUAGCUGAAAUUCCCACUCGCAACUCUUUCUGCAAUGUCCUUUAAUGUCCCCUCAAUUUCUCCUUCCUUGGAUGAAAAGUCAACUAAUGAACUAGGAGUCUGAGCCCGAGCCCAUUCUUCAAGCUUUUUUGCAUCUAUUCUGUAGGCCAUAACAUACAGAACUAAUCAACCCAAAUGGUGAUUAAAGUCAAAUAGAAAGGGCAUUUUUAGAUCCUGUUCAAUGAAACUAUCAAGCGCCAAUGAAAAUAAUUGUGCAAUUCAAAUUUUGCAGAAAUAUGGAGUAGCAAUUAUAUUCUUUCAAUUUUUUGUUAUGCGUGGUAAUGAAGGAAAAAGGGAGAAAAAGUUGACCACCAAUAUAUGAAAAUCUUAACAGAACUAAGAAUCUCCAAUUUUUCUGAGCAUCUGGCUAAGUACACUUUUCGAAUGUUUAAGUUUCUACUAUUUAUCAAUCUUUAUGGUUGCAAAUAUUUCCUUUUCAUUUCACUUAGUCAAAGAAACUCAAAUGAUCUAUAUAUAAAAGUAACAAUGACGAUAACGCAUUUUUCUUGGGAAAACUACUUGUAAAUUGUGCAUAGAACAGAAAGGUUUUCCUUCUUCUUUUUUUCUUCAUAACCAUCAAUGACAACCACCUAAACAUUAUUCUUCCAAACAUCCAGCAAUUACUAUAGUCUCUCAUUCUGCAUAAACAGGUUUUUUUUUUUUGUUAUGAUUUUUGGUAUAAAGAACAAAAACCAAUAUUCAAUGAUAACCGAUGCUUUCUUAUUCCUCAUGCAACGCAAUAUCAAAUGUCAGAUUCAGAUGCAAUACACUUGGUAAAGAAAAACUGUCAUAAAGCAUUAACAACCACUACUUCCAUCAAUUCCUCUACAAAAACUAAAUCUAAAUCACGAAAUUGAAAUAACAAAAAGAUUUCCUGUAAAAAGACAGAAAAACUAAGAAGACAAACCUGUAUUGCUCCGGAUCCUCCUCCAAUGCCUUAAUGUAAGCCUGAAAAAUGGCCUCUCGAUCCUCAUCACUCGGAUACCCUUCCAUGAGUUGAUCAUACACAGUAACAAAACCAAGACCAAACACAGGAUCGUAACGGUAAGUCUUCUUAUACUUCAUCAAAUGUUGUUGCACUAUCAACUCCUGCAGAACCGUGUUAUAGAUACUCGGGAUCGGUCUCUUAUAAGCCUUCAAGAAAUUCAACUUGGUAUCAGCUACCGUUGGUGGCACAUCUGAAAAUUAACCCAAUUCAUCAAACAAAUCAGUACCACCAAAUCCACACACUACUUUACACAAUUUAAACCAUAAACAAAAUAAUGAAUACGAAAAAAAACAAAUCUAUGACCUCAAAUUCUACCGUACUACUGGCCAGCAUUGCAAAAUUCAGAUGCUAAACUUCAGCUUUAUUACUUAAAAAAAUAUAAUAAAAGUUUUAGUCUUGACUGGCUGACGCACAAGCUGUCUCGAUGACAUUCCUUUCCAUCAAAAAAAAAAAAAACUUUAUUAAUAGUUCCAAAUGAAGAAUUAAUUUUUGAAGAAAAAAAAACUAAAGCUUACUUCAUCAUUAAUUUUGUGAUUAAGCUAAUAGCAAAAUUAGUUAUUUUCAAAAUCUAAAUAGAAAUUUUCACUGUAAUUAUUCAUAAAAUAAAUAAAUCACACUGAUUCCUCAACAAAGUUAAACAAAAAAUAGGAAUCGCAAAAAUCAUUCUAUAAUAAAAAAAUUAAAUAAUAAAACCCUAAACCUCUUAAUUACACUAACUUUCUAAGACUUUUAUUUCUAUUUUCUCUCACUUUCUCAACAACCAGACACAAAAAAGAAAGACGAAUAUCUAAAAAAUAUCAACAAAGAUUUUUUCUUUUACCAGUAGAAGUGGACAUGCAAUGGAUAACCAUACGGGAAGUCGAAUUCGAAGCUCUAACGCCGACAUAAUGACACGAAAAACUGGACCUAAACCGGGAGCCUUCAAAACCUAAAUUACGCGCUACUGUACAGAAAGCCCUUCUGUCGCUCGAAGAUUGGGAAAUUGCAGAGAAUGAUACUGAAGUAACGGCAGCCAUUGUGGUUGGAUGGAGAGAAAAUGAGAGUGAAUUUUCCGGGAAAAUUUUGAUUUCUUUUUUUUAAGUUAUAGGGAAGGAAGAGAGAAAAUUGAUUUGAAUUUUUUUUUUCUUUUUCUUAUUGGUGUGUUUGGAUCGAGAGAAAAGGAGAGAAAGUGAGAGGUUGGAAAUUUAAAGAGAGGAUUAUCCGUUAUUUUUCGUAAGAACAAAUUGGAUUAUUUUGAUUUUUAGAGGGAACCAGUGAUGUUUUGACACGUAAGUUUUAUGGGUUAUUGGGACUUUUGUAAAUUUUGUAAGAAUUUGUGGUUAUGGUUUGACAGGGUACUAGGUUCAUUUUGAAAGUUUUUGAAAGAAAUUAAGUUUUAUUUUCAAUCUAAUAUAUUUUUUAUAUUUUUAUAUUAUUUUAAUGUAUUAAUAUGAAAAAUAAUUUUAAAAAAAUAAAAAAAAUUAUUUUAAUGUGUUUAUAGAAUAAAAAACACUUUAAAAAAUAAUCAUUACUACAAUAUUAAAAAAAUAAUAAAAGAUAGGUUAUGGAAAUUUGGAUUUUCUAUUCUUUUAUUUAUUUAUUUUUAAUUUAAUUUAUUUAAAUCAACAUGUGAAUUUAUAAUUUUAAAGGGUUUAUACUGGGAUAAAACUUAAAACUAAGAUCUAUUUAUAAGUAUAUGAUUCGCUUAGAUUUAAUAUAUAGUUUAAAGUGAUAUUUUUUGUUUGGUUCGGUUUUUAUAUAUAAAAAAAAUAAUCAAACCAAUUUUUAUUAAAAAAAUCAAAACCGGUUCAAACUGACCGGUUUCAGUUCAAUUCGGUUUGAUUCAUUUAUUUUAGAAUAAAAACCAGUUUUUUUGGUUUGGCUCGGUUUUUUCCAGUUUGGCUCGAUUUUGACUUUUUUUUCGAUUUAGUUUAGUUUUUUUUGUUUGGAUCGGGUUUUUUUUAAUUUGACUAGGUUUAUUUUGUUUUUUCAGUUUGGGUUCAAUUUAGUUUUUUCAGUUUCAAACUUAUAAAACCAAAUCGGUCGGUUUGUUAAAAUUCUACUCGAUUUAAUCAAAUUUUUUUAUUGUUCUAUUUUUUCGGUUAUUUUUUUUCAGAUUUUUUAAUUUAAUUGAUUUUUUAAUUUUUUUUCUCUAGUAUAGUUAUUAAAUUUAAUUUGAUUUGACAAAUCAAUUUGUCAAAAUUUAGCUAAAGUUUUUUUUUUCAACAAGGGUGGAUACUAAUUAAUUUUAAAAAAAAAAUUUUAUUUUGGUUUGAUUUUAUUAGAUUAGUUCUUAAUAAUUCGUUUUUUAUAUUUCAUUUCUUAUUAUUUUUUAAUUUAUAAAUAAUUUAUUAUAUUAUAAAUGAUAAUUUCAUUUUUAUAAUUUUUUAAUCUUUAAAGUUUAAUUCUAAUUUUUUUAAUUGUAAUUUUUUUGGUUUGCGAUGAAUCCAAUUUUGAUGUUGUUGGGUCCGAAAGAAUUUUCUGUAAUUUGGACUGGACAUCGGCCGAAGUAUUGUCCGUGAACAGCUCUAGUGGGUUCGCUCUAUUAUCUUUGGGCUUGUAGCCCUUUCUUGUCUCCGAGGCUUCAUCUGUUCAGUUGCUUUUCUGUACUUGGGCACCAUGCUUACUCGUGCCAGGAGAGUAUUUUGUUUUUGAGAUAGUUUUUGUAAUUAUAAUUUUAAAAAAUAAAUUAAAAAAAAUAUGAUUAAUUUAGAUUAGUUGGAUUUAGAUAUGUAUUUGAUAAAAAAUAUUAUUGAAAUUUAUAUAUAACAAAAAAUAUUUAUAAAAUAUUUGGUAGUUAUGUGAUUCUGGUUACUUUUUAAAAGUGUUUUUUUAUUUAAAAGUAUAUUAAAAUAAUAUAUUUUUAUUUUUAAAAUUUUAUUUUUAAUAUCAGCUCAUCAAAAUAAUCUAAAAACACUAAAAUAUAUUAAUUUAAAAAAAUUAAAUUUUUUUUAAAAUAUUUUUAAAACAUAAAAUUAAAUAAUAUUUUAUAAAACUCUUCGUAUAAAAUGCCGUUCGGACUCAGACUCAGUUAUGCAGUACAAAACAUAAUUUUGACAGUUAUCAUAUUUUUUACAUUGUUGAGCUGAUGUCUCAUAGGUCCAAGUCAAUUAUGAUGGUCAUGGAACAUUGAAUUGCUGUGUGUGAGUUAGAGAAACAGCCUUUUCGCUCACGAGUCUUUUCACUCAUAAUGCCAAAACUGAGAGGUACAUGCAUAGUUUCCAUUGUUGCUGUUUUCUUCUUCUUCUUUUUCAUCUUGGCAGGGACUGCAUGGGUGCUUGUACAGAAGCAGAUGCGCCUUUUCCAUGAAAAGCAAUGAUCAUUUAUUAUUGGAACGGUGUGUUUGAUAGUGUGAUAAUAAUUGUUUUUUAAAUAAUUUUUUGUGUUAAAAUAUAUAUUAAUGAUGUUUUUUUUAUUUUUAAAAAAUUAUUUUUGAUAUCAACACAUCAAAACGAUCCAAAAAAUACAAAUCACAUUAAAUUUUUUAAAAAAAAAAAUUUAAAUUUUUUGGGAACGCAAUUUCAACCGUAUUCCAAGUAUUCCAAAAGGCUACCUAACUAAUCAAUUGCUUGCUGUUUUGAUGUUAUAUAUAUAUAUAUAUAUAUAUAUGAACAUACUUUUAUACACAGUAAACGAGUGGGUAGCUAUACAUUACAGGGGAGAACUCAUGAUUCCGAAUUAAUCUCAUAUUUAUAUAAUAUAAAUGAUAAAAAUGAAAAAUAACCCGCGGGUAAUACAGGAAACAAUAGUAAUAAAGAUAUAAAAUUUACAAAACAAAAGGGGGGAAAGCAGUCAAAUUGUAGCUUGCAGUCAGGGCUUCUCAUGAUGACGUGUCGAUCUUAUCCAAGUGACUUUGAACGUGCCUAGGCUAUCCAUUGAUUCACAUGGUUAUAUGCCUUCUGCUCCAAUGACCAUGGAAGUAACAUGCUCCCUAUCUUUUCAUAUUCAGCAACAAUCUUACCGUACAGAUUUCAACUAUAAAGGAAGAGAAAAACAAAUGUCCAGUACAGUAGUUGAAGAGACAGAAACACUGUAUAACUGUGAGUGUUUGAUUGAUUGAAAUUAUUUUUUAAAUUAUUUUUAAUUUUAAAAUAUAUUAAAAUAAUAAUAAAAAAUUUAAUUUAAAACAAAAAAAUAUAUAAAAAAAUUUUUUAAAUGAAAAAAAAAAGUCAUAGAAAAAAGCCUAUUUUUUUGUUUUUAGCACAUUUUUCCAAAAAAAAAAAUAUAGCCCCAAACAAACAAAAUAGUACCAUUUAUAAAUAUCAUGAUUAAAAAACGUAAUUUUUAUAACUUACGUUAUUUAGGAUAGUAAUAUUCUAUAGGAGGGAGCCACUAAGACAGAAAAAAAAAAUCAAUACACACCAUAGCUUUGAUUACAAAAUACCAAUAUUAUUUAAAAAAAUCUUAAUAAAAAAAAUUUAACAUAGAUAUAAUCCAAAUGAGUCAUAUUUGUCUUCCAAAACUAACCUACUUUGAUGAUAAAUAUGGUUCACUUGAGUUAUUAUUGGUGAUUUUUUUUUUUAUCGUUAGAAUUAUAUUAUUAAAUUUUUUUUAAUAAUAUUUAUGGUGUUGUAAUCCGAAUUUUGAUAUGUUUUUGAGAUUUUUUUUCUUGCAUCUAUCUUCUCUCCGUCUCAUAAUUUUUUAAAGUAUAUCAUUAUUUUAUGCUAUAAAAGUUAUAUUUUUCAAUCAUGAUAUGUAGAGAGUGUAUUAUUUUAUCAAUUAAUUUUUCAACCAUGCUAUCCUGCUAAUAUUCUUAAUUAACUGUUCUGAUUUAAAAAUAAACAAAAAGAAAAGAACCAUGUCAUUGAUUCAUCUAUGAAUCCAUAAAUUAUUAGAUUAAUUAAAGUUUAUUGUUUUUAUUAAAAUGAUAGCAUUUUAAUUUUAUUUUUCAUAUUAACUUUAAGGUAGUUUAGUUUUACCGAGUUAAUAUAGUACCGAAUUAAAAUCUACGUCAAAUAAAGUAAUGGAUGGUCUGAGAGACAUCUCUGGUAAAAAGAGGGAGGUGUAACAGUGAGGGAAGAUCUUAAGAUGGAGAUUUUAUGUCAAGUCAUGCCUCUCUAUAGACAUGGAUGGAAACUAGCUAUAGCUACCAACAUAUAAAUAAUAUGCGAGAAAUUGAAGUAUCAGUUGACAAUUUCUGCAACUGGGUGAUGGAUUUAGAAUCUUUCACUGUAAACCAUUUUUUAGGUAUUAGACUAUUAGGUUUCCUAAUGGUAAGUCUGGAAUAUAUAUAUAUAUAUAUAUAUAUAUAUAUAUAUAUAUAUAUUAUGAUUUUAAGUUUAAUUAUUGUAAUUAUUAAUAUAAUAAUUACUAAAAAUUUAUAUAAUUAUUACUUUUAAAACACGUGAAAUUAAUUAAAAUAUUUAUAAAUUAAUCCAAUAUCCACAAUAAUAAUAAUAAAAAAAACAAUUUCACUGUAAAAUAAAACGGUGGAGACUCAGACACAUCAAGGUAAGAGCAUCUCCAAUGGAAAAUGUCAUUUUGAAGAGCCAAAUGAAGAAAAUAGCUUUUUGAAUAGUGUAAAUGUAUCUUUUUGUAUUAUGUGCAUUCCAAUGGUAAAAAGCUAUUUAGAAAAGCCAUUUAUAUUUUAAUAUAUUUCAUGUUAAAUUUAUUUUUAUAUAAUUAUGUAACUAAUUUAGAUAUUUUAUAUAUAAUAUAAUUAUGAUGUUAUUAAUUAUAUAAUUAAUAUUAGUAAUUUAUAAAAAUAAUAUAAAAUUUAAUGAAAUAAUAUGAAAGUUAAAAGAUAUAAUUUAAAAUUAAACUUAAAAUUUAUUUAUAUGAAUAUUUUUAAUUUUUAAUUUUCGGUUUUAUAUGUUACUGUUAAAAAUUUAAUUUUUUAAAAGUAAAUUCAAAUUAAUCCUACUUAUUGUUGUUUUUCAUUAUGGUUGUUAUCUUUUAAGUUAAUUAAUCUUACUUAUUAUUGUUUUUCAUUAUGGUUGUUAUCUUUUAAGUUAAUUAAUCCUACUUAUUGUUAAUAAUUAACCGGAGAAUAAUCGAUUCUUGUUUUUUAAAAUUUGAGAGAAGGGUGAGGCACAAUACAAAAAUUUAAAACUACAAGUUUUUUCUUCAUGUAUUUAUAGAUAAAAUUUUCUAUGUAAAAAAAAAAAAAGUUGUUGGCCGUUGGCCAUUUUAGUUAUUUCUAAAGUUAAAUAUAAAAAUAACUUUUCAAUUUAUAAAAAAUCAUUUUGACUGUCACUUUAGCAUUCUAUUAAAAUAUUAAAAGUAAAGAAAUAAGAGUACAUAUAGCUCUUGGUUUGGCAGCUCCAACCUAAAGCUUUCAUGUGGCUGUGGUGGCUGUUUCAUUAAAUUACACGGCCUGGUAACACAGGACCCUGGCCUCCCCUAUAGCCAUGAGAUUUGCAGGUAUUAUUAUUGCUGGCAACUCUAUGUCCUAUGAUUUAUAGACAAAAUCAUAGUUUCGGACAUGACAUCUUGAUGUGAUAGAUUUACAUAACAUGGUCAUUGAACGCAGAGUAUUAUCAGACCACCAGUGGUUGUAAUAUUGAUUAUUUUUAAAAUAAUUUUUUUAUUUAUAAAUAUAUUAAAAUAAGUUUUUAAAUUUUAUUUUUUAUUCUGACACAUUAAAAUAAUUUUAAAAUAUUAAAAAAAUUAACUUAUUUAAAAUACGGUAAAAACAAACAAUAUCAUAUGUAUCAAGAGUUUAAACUAGACUAUCACCUUCAUUUUUUUGGUACAACAUAAUAAAAAAUUAUUAAAACCAAUGAAUUAAGUGUAUUAAUUAAAUCAAUGUAUAAUAGUUUUUUUUUUAAUAUUUUUUUAAAAUAAAUAAUAUUAUAUUAAAAAGUUAAAUUAAAUUUUAAUCUGAUCACAUCAAGUUAACUAUAACUUAAUUUAAUUUAAAAUCUAAUAUAUCCACUAGAUCAAAUAAGACUAAAUUUAAUAUUACUAAAAAACAACAUAGGACCUCCACAAUUCCCGCAACCUAAAUUUGUUCAAGAUUGAAUGGGUUCUCUCAUUACAUGUAGCAUUAAACAUCAAGAAGAAUCAUGAUGACAUGCGAGACAGAUUAAAAUCUACAAAAUUGGAAGGGGAUAGAUUUAUAGCCAAGUGGAGUCACGAGAUCUUUCAGUGAAUUAAUAUUUUAAUCAUGGUCAGUGGCUAGCUGCUUUCUACACCAACUUUUUCAAAGCAGGAAUCACAGAGCUAAAAAAAAAAUAAAUUACAAAAUACCUUUGUUUCCUCUAUAUAUUGAUCUCUAGUCUCCAAGUUCCCCACUAAAGUCAAUAACUAGAUAAGCAACUUGCGAUUCUUUACUCAAGCUUUGUUCUUACUCUAAUGGUGUAGACUUUACAUCUCUCUUCACUCCACUCUCCUCCAACACUCCCGAAACAAAUACUAUUUUCUACACACACAGAAGCAGUAAAAAUGGAAAGCGUUUAGUCUCUCUCAGAACAAGUUAUGAGCUUGAGAUCCAUUGGGAAGGAGUUCUUCCAGCCAGGUUCCCGAAGGAUGCAGAGUGUUAAAGAUAAAGCUUCUAAAAAAGACUCAAACGUCAAGCCCCUUAAUGAUGCUGCUUGUGCAUCUGCUUCAUCGAAGCAGAAAACAAGUUUCUCAGGUAAUUUCAGUUCCAAUGAUUUCAAUAAUCCUGCUAAAAACAGUGAAGAUAACAAGCGUAAACAGGCAGAGGAGUCGCUGCGGACUGUGAUGUAUUUGAGUUGUUGGGGUCCUAAUUAACUUCUAGGCAAUCCGAAUUGUGAGAGCAGGUUGGGAUACUGCAUCGAAGUUAAUGUACAGAGUCUGUAAUGUAAGCGAGUGUUCAUGUAAUAUGUACUGUAUUUAACAUAUAUGCCUAUCUUUUCUUGUUCAUCGUCAUGGGAACUUUAAAGUGAGAAAAUGGCAAGUAAUGAUCAGAUCCUUGAGCACAGAAAAUGGUCUGAAACUCUUAAAACUGCUAAUGCAUGGUGGUGCCUGAAAAAGCAGGAUAGAGACUCCAUGAAAUUUGAUUAUAAGAUAUGCUUUCCCUUGAAGAUCAUGAUGGGAAUUAAGGCCACAGGAUUUGGAGAUAGAUUUGCUUAUGAUUCAUUCAAAACAUCAAUCGAAAUCAACAAUUAAUUGAAGAUAAAUAAAAUUGAAGUUCAAGGACAUAUUUUCUCUAGUAAAGAAAGGCAUCAAACUAUCAUGGAUCACACAAAGUGCCCUUUCAUCUAAUGAAGACGCUUGAUAUAUGGAACAUGUGUGAAGGGUUAAGAAAUCGACACAGAAGAAGCACUGUAUCUCUGAGGAUUAGACAGCAUGUAUGAACACAUUAAUAAUCUUGUGUUUCUAUAAUUUAUUAGAAGGCUCAUUGUUAAGCAACAUGCUAAUAUUUACCAUCAUAAUACAUAAAGCUAAAUCAACUGUUCAUAAAAUAUCAUUCAUCCUCUCAUGUAUGUGAAUUAUAAUAAUUAUAAUAGUGUAAUUUUUGAAAAAUUUAAAUUUGAUCCUGGAAUUUUUAUUUACAUGUUUUUUUUUAAAGGAUUGUUGAAUUAAAAAAAAAAAGGGACUUCACUGAGACAAACAAGUAAUAUAAGUAGUGGAUUGAAAAUUUAUGUCAACAAAUUAUUUGAGUUCCUUACAAUUUUUAGCUAUUAGGUUAUUAGUACUUUAUAUUUUAUAAAAUUUAAUUUUAAUACCAAAUUUUAAUUUACUUAUUUUUCAAUCUUGUUAGUAAGAGGAGAGAGAGGAGGUCGUUGGAUUCUGGUUGGUGAGGAAUUCAGCCACUAAAAUGAUUGUUUUUAUGUUAAAUGGUUUUAUAUGAUGAAAAAAAUUAAGAUUAGGUGUUUUUCUACUUUAUAAACAUCUAAAAAUCAUAUAUGAGCUCAAAAUUUUAUUAUUUUUUUGUUUCAGGUGGAUUUUGAGUUUUAAGGCAAUUCUUUACUUUUUUUUCGUGGCUAUGUAUUGGUUUAAAAAAAUUACUAUAUUCAGUGGGGUUCAUGACAUAAUUUACUUGAAAACUGAGAUCUAAUCUAUUAAUAUCUCAAUAGUUUUUAUAAAAAAAUUAUCAUCUUGAAAUUUUGUUAAAAGCUAAGUUAUAUUUUUACUAAUCAUCAAGAUUGCAUCUUGAACUAUGAAAUUAAUUAAUUUAAUCUGAGCUAACUCCCGAGCAAUUUAAUUUAAAAUUUGAGUUAGAUAAAAAGUUAAAUUACAAAAUUUCAAGAUUAAUCUAUUAAAUUAGGUAUAAUAAUAUAAUCAAAAAAAUUCUUCACCUCUUAAUAUUUUUUUAUAUAUUUUAAAAAAUUUGUAUAAUCUACAGCGGAAAACAGGCCAAUUAACUAAUAUAUAGGCAAAUCAAGAUGCGAUGGGCCAGAGGUUUAUAACAUCUAAAAAUAGGUCAUGUGCCAAUGUUUAAAAUUAGGUUAGAGAAAGUUAGGAGCUCAAAGCUAUAAUAGGCCGCAAACCUCAUAGAGCUCAUAUUCAUAUAUACUUAAUCACUCGAGUUUGGAUAUAUUACUUGGUCAGGUGCUUAUCUAGAAAAUGGAUCAUCGAUUUAUACUUUUAGAAGUCAUGAUUGGCCAGCAAGUCCAAAACACAUGCUUUUCAAAUUAGACUUGCAGUGUCUAUAGGAUUUAAAUUCUUGAUAGGAUGUUCACUAAAAUCCCUUUGAACCGAUUGAGCCCGAAUAGACUAAUACACUUGAUGCUACUAAAUUAUAAAACGGCUUAUUUUCAAGUUUUUUGUAGAAAAAAAUUAAAUCAAUAUUGUUUUAAUAAAAAAAUUCAAAUCAGAUCUCAUCAAAAUUUUAUUUUGAUCAAGUUAAGAAUAAACCCGUAUGAUUAAACCAGAUUUUACCGAUUCAACUCUCAUAUAGUUCAUAGCAAGCUCUGGAUGGAUAGAUAACCGAAUUUACUUGCAAAGACAGAGCGAGUUUAAUACAAUUGUCUGGAGCAUUAUGAAUCCUCUCAUAUAAGUUACCACGAAUCCCCAACGCACAAUUGUAUUCACAGUUGAGUCUCUAAAGAAACAAUUUAGCAGUUUUACCCUUGAAGUUUGUUUGUCUCCACGACUUGUCGGCUUGUCCUCUGAAGUCAAAACCCAGACAUGACCAGAGUGGGUGCCAUCAUUUGUUGCCGGUGGCCUCAUCUGACAGCGUACCAGGCAGUUUCACAAGAAAACUGCGUGUCCAUUAUUACCUGCUCUAGUCUAGUGGCUGCAUUAUCUUGUCACAUUUUCACCGUCAAGAUGUGACCAAAAUCCAUACUUGUUUUUUUUUUUUUUAUUAUUAUUUAUUAAUAUAGGUAUCGACAGUUUAUAUAUAUUUAAAUUAAUUUUUUAAUUUUUUAAAUUAAUAAUUAUAUAAAUUUAAAGUAAUUCUAAUAUUUGCAUGAUUUAAACUGGUAAUUUUUAGAGAGAUUAUCUUUCUAUUUUUUUAUUAAUAUAGAUAUCCGAACUAACAUACGUAUCUUAAUUAAUUCUACGGUCUUUAAAAUUAAUAAAUAUAUAAAUUUUUAGUACCAUAAAAUUUAUAAAAUUCAAACUAAUAAUUUUUAAAAUAUAAAUUUAAAAUUUAAUUAAUUGUACUAUAUUUCUCUGGUUGAUUAUCCUUCUAUUAUUAAUAUGACAUGUGGUUAUGAAGGGUCAAUAAAGUAAUUGUAGAAAAAAUAAUGCUAUUUUUUUGCCUUACAAGGGGCCAAAACCAGUGGCCUUAGCCUGUAGCUAAUGGUUUCUGGCUUUCUACUACUUGUUUUCAGCCAUCACCAUCCCCUCUAUAAAUAAAGGCCCCUUAGAAUCCAUUAGCUUCAUCAAGAUCAUCUGUAAUCUGCAGUCAUCUACUUGCAAAAGAAAACGGAAACUUAAAGGGUUAAAGGAAAAAAAUGAGUACAGCAAGAACGGCUUGGAUUGUGGGAGCUAGCAUUGGAGCUGUAGAGGCAUUGAAGGACCAGGGCUUUUGCAGAUGGACCUACACCAUGAGAUCAUUACACAAACAUGCAAAGAAUAAUAUGAGCUCAAUCUCUCAGACCAAGAAGCUUUCGUCUUCAUCGUUUGCUAUGGUUUCGGGUGAAUUGAGGGAAUCAAGCCAAUCCGAGGAGUCUCUGAGGAAAGUCAUGUACUUGAGUUGUUGGGGUUCAAAUUAAAUGAGUUGAGAAGUUUGCCAUGAGAAUCUGACGCCUCAUGCAGGCUGAAGCUGGUCCAUUGAGAAGAACAUAGCCAAAGCCAUGAUUACGGUUUGUGAGAGAAAAUUUGCGGGGCUUGAUUAGUGAUUGAUGCAAGCCUGAUGUGAACUGUAGCUAGUCUGACUGCCCUCUCAUCAGUGGCGGAGAGAGGGGGGCGCGGCCCCUGCAAGGAAUUUUUUUUCCAGCCCCUCCCUUCAUAAUAUUAAUAAAUUUAGUCUAAAUAAUCAAACAACUAAUAUUUUUGCCCCCUUUAAUUCUUUUUUCUGGUUCCGCCCCUGCCUCUCAUGAUCAGCUUGUAAUUACACCAUUGCUAUAUGGAACAAAAAUGUUGUCACCAUCUUCCUAUCUUUUGCUAUCCCUUUGAAUUGAUGUCCCAUGCAAUCUCAAAAUUCUUGCUUGUUCUUAAGAUCAUUGCGCUGUGAGAUGUUGUUGUCACCAAAUUUUCAUGGUUUCUGUGACAUGGGCUAAAUGACAUUCAAACAUCCUGCUUAAUUUUGAGCAUGGAUUAAGCCUUUCCUUGAUAGAUCAUGGUUUGAUGCUUAACGUCAAGCAACAAGAUUGGAUGCAUGUGCAUUUUCAAUUAAGAAUUCAAACUGGAAUUUCAACAAUUUUUCUGCAGAUCUGUCUCCCAAAUUCCAACCUGACUAUCAGUGUGACCGCUUCUCACUUCAAGCAAAGCGAUUAACCAUUUCUGCGCAUGGAUAAUAGGGCUUCGAUAGGAUUUUAGAGGCUUACUUUGAAUGGUGGGCAGAAUUCUUAAGAGCAAUGGAUAUACAAACCACCAACUUUCAUUUAAUUCUCAAUUGGAUUCCCACAUAGAAAACUAGAAAGGCCAAGGAUGCACUCGGAUGUGUAGAUGGGCUUAGAUAUGCUCGGAUGGUACUUCACUAAAAAAAACAUGUGUAGCGGUGUUUUUUAUUUUUUUUAUUUUUUUAAAUGAAUUGUUUUUAUUUUUCUUAAAUUAAGUUUUUAUUUUUUGUAUUUUAUGAUUUUAAAAAUGAAUUUUUUAAAAUAAAAAAAAUUAUUUUAAUAUAUUUUCAAACAAUUUUUUUAAAUAAAAACCACUAACAAAACAUCAGAAUCUACAUAUAUUUUUUAAACAAUCUGAAUUGAAAUAUCAAAUAUAAAAUAAUGUGCUAAUUGAUGCUUUCGUAUUUUCUUUUCCCAAAUCUUUUAUAAACCUACCUGUGUAAGUUGAUGGCGAGUAGGAUUUUUAUAAAUCUUCAUGUCCGGAUGGAAGUAAUUUGCUCAAUUUUGUAAGUUCCUGAAAAGGGAUAGAUCCAAGCUUUAUGUGAAUACAUGUUUACCGUAAAAUAAAAUAUGAAAAAGAUGAAUUCCAAGAAAUCGCGUGAGAGAGAGAGAGAUAGAGAGGCUAUCAACUUUAUUUUAUAAGAAGAAGAAAAGGAGAAGCAUGCAAUUUGACAUUUGUUUAUCCUCAGUCCCACACUUUUUUUUUAUUGUUAUUAUCAAGGUUUGUAAAAUUUCAACCGAUAAUUUUUAAAGAAUAAAUUUAAAAAUUAAUCAGUUAAACUACGCCCGGUUCAGUCCCGCACUUUCUUACAUUCCUUACAAGUGGCAAAUGCACUUCAAUGAGAAAGUGCCACCGAAUGGUUGCAAGCAUGACUCACCACCCUUCAGCUAUGAUGCUCCUCCUGAUGCCUUGGCUUGGAUUUUUUUAUUUUACAAAGCAAAACCGUGUGCUCAUUUGAAGGCAGGCAGAGAAGCUUUUGGGUUGUUGUCGAGCAAAAGUAUAAUUACCAUUGGCUUUUGCUGGUUUCCGCACCCAAAACCACCAGCAGGAAGCCUUUAGCCUCACGUUUUUUCCUCAACUUUUGGCAUUCUCACCUAUAUAACCAAACCCCAUCCUUCCAUUGGAUUCAUCAAAGCAUAGCUCGUGUUAUCUUACUCUCUACAAAUCCCACUACAAACUUGUUGGUUCUAUAUUACAGUAACAUAAAAAAUGAGUUCAGCGAGUAAAGCUUGGUUGGUUGCCGCUGCUAUCGGAGGUGUUGAGGCGUUGAAAGAUCAAGGGUUCUGUAGGUGGAACUACACCUUGAGAUCCCUACACCACCAUGCCAAGAACCAUGUCAGAUCAGCCUCUCAGGCCAAGAAGCUUUCUUCUUCAUCCUCAGCCAUGAUCUCAAAUAUAGUCAAGGAAGAGAAGGCAAAACAGUCAGAGGAGUCUUUAAGAAAAGUCAUGUACUUGAGUUGUUGGGGUCCAAACUGAAGCUAUGAAUCUAGUAGAUGAAAUCGAGGGACUUAGUUUGUAGGAGUAAAUCCUUGCAAGCUUAUGCAAAUUGUAAAAUUUGAUGCUCAUUUGGAGCUGUAGAGGCAUUGAAGGACCAGGGUUUUUGCAGAUGGACCUACACCAUGAGAUCAUUACACAAACAUGCCAAGAAUAAUACGAGGUCAAUCUCUCAGGCCAGGAAGCUUUCUUCUUCAUCUUUUGCUAUGGUUUCGAAUAAAUUGAGGGGAUCAAGCCAAUACGAGGAGUCUCUGAGGAAAGUCAUGUACUUGAGUUGUUGGGGUCCAAAUUAAAUGAGUUUAGAAGUUUGCCAUGAGAAUCUGAUGCCUUAUGCAGGCUGAAGCUGGUCCAUUGAGAAGAACAUAGCCAAAGCCAUGAUUAUGGUUUGUGAGAGAAAAUUUGCGGGGCUUGAUUAGUGAUUGAUGCAAGCCUAGUGUUAACUGUAGCUAGUCUGACUGCCAUCUCAUGAUCAGCUUGUAAUUACACCAUUGCUAUACGCAACACGAAAAUUUUGUGGAACAAAAUAUGUUGUCACCAUCUUCCUAUCUUUUGCUAUCCCUUUUUAAUUGAUGUCCCAUGCAAUCUCAAAAAUCUUGCUUGUUCUUUGAUCAUUUCGUUGUGAGAUGUUGCCACCAAAUUUUCAUGGUUUCUGUGACAUGGGCUAAAUGACAUUCAAACAUCCUGCUUAAUUUCGAGCAUGGAUUCAGCCUUUCCUUGAUAGAUCAUGGUUUGAUGCUUAACGUCAAGCAACAAGAUUGGAAACAUGUGCAUUUUCAAUUAAGAAUUCUGGAAUUUCAAAACUUUUUCUGCAGAUCUGUCUUCCAAAUUCCUACCUGUCUAUCAGUGUGACCACUUCUCACUUCAAGCAAAGCGAUUAACUAUUUCUGUGCAUGGAUAGUAGGGCUUCGAUAGGAUUUUAGAGGCUUACCUUGAAUGGUGGGCAGAAUUUUUUAGAGCAAAGGACAUUUAUAGACUUAAAUCUUGAAGUAAGGGAUAAUUUCUUCAUCUUCUUCGCCAUCAUAUCCUCCUUAACCAUGCUACUAUUCUAACACCCACACAUACACAUGGUUAUUCAAGGCUCUUUCUCUUCUACUUAAAUUGAUUUAAGCAUUGAAGGAUCAAUCAUUUUCAUCAAAAGACUUGUUUUGAAGGUUAUCAUCCAUCCCAAUACUUUCUCAAGCAGGUUUUAGUCCAACUCAACCUAAAGAGUAACUAAUUCUUUUGGAAGGGGUUUCUACAACUUCAUCACUGUUAGCUUGAAAUUGUACUCACCUAAUUAACCCUCGUUUUAAAGUUUGUGCAUGAUUUUUUUAUAUUCAAAAGUUAGCAUUCUGAGUUUUUUUUUUAAUGUAUAAUGUGUUUAUAGGAUAUGGCUUCUAAAAAUAAUUUAAAAAUAAUGGUGCUAAUUGGUGCUUACGUAUUUUCUUUUCCCAAAUCUUAUAUAAACCUUCUGUGUAAGUUGAUGGCGAGUAGGAUUUUUAUAAAUCUUCAUGUCUGGAUGUAAGUAAUUUGCUCAAUUUUGUAAGUUCCUGAAAAGGGAUCGAUUCAAGCUUUAUGUGAAUACAUGUUUACCAUAAAAUAAAAUAUGAAAAAGAUGAAUUCCAAGAAAUCGAGAGAGAAAGAGAGAGAGAGAGAGAGCUAUCCUCAGUCCCACACUUUCUUUCAGUCCUUACAAGUGGCAAAAGCACUUCAAUGAGAAGUGCCACCAAAUUGUGACAUGCAUGACUCACCACCCUUCAGCUAUGCUCCUCCUGAUACGUUGGCUUGGAUUUAUUUAUUUUACGAAGCAAAACCGUGUGCUCAUUUCAAGGCAGGCAGAGAAGCUUUUGACUUGCUGUGGAGUGAAGGGCAAAAAAAUCUAGCCAUCCCAAGAACCCGAUUUUGUCCCCACCUUCUUGUUGUCGCCAUGUGGUAGUUGAAUGUCAAUACAGUCAUCUCACCAUAAAAAAAUACCAUUGGCUUUUGCUGGUUUCCUCACCCAAAACCACCAGCAGGAAGCCUUUAGCCUCAGGUUUUUUCCUAAACUUUUGGCAUUCUCACCUAUAUAACCAAACCCCAUCCUCCCAUCGGAUUCAUCAAAGCAUAGCUCGUGUUUUCUUACUCUCCACAAAUCCCACUACAAACUUGUUGGUUCUAUAUUACAGUAACAUAAAAAAUGAGUUCAGCGAGUAAAGCUUGGUUGGUUGCCGCUGCUAUCGGAGGUGUUGAGGCGUUGAAAGAUCAAGGGUUCUGUAGGUGGAACUACACCUUGAGAUCCCUACACCACCAUGCCAAGAACCAUGUCAGAUCAGCCUCUCAGGCCAAGAAGCUUUCUUCUUCAUCCUCAGCCAUGAUCUCAAAUAUAGUCAAGGAAGAGAAGGCAAAACAGUCAGAGGAGUCUUUAAGAAAAGUCAUGUACUUGAGUUGUUGGGGUCCAAACUAAAGUAAUGAAUCUAGGAGAUGAAAUCGAGGGACUUAGUUUAUAGGAGUAAAUCGUAGCAAGCUUAUGCAAAUUGUAAAUUUUGAUGCUCAUUUGAUGAAAUCGAACAUUAUCGCAUGUUUCUACCAUUUCUUUUGGUAACGCGCAGUGCAUUUCCCUAGUGAGUAAAUUUAACAAAGCUCUUUUCUAGUUUUCAAGUGGAAUAAACAGGCAAUUAAUUUCAAUAUGAGAUAUGAAAUUCAACUCGAGGCUAAAAUCUCUUUCUCCCCACAUCCUCAAAUGGAUAAAAAGGCUACAUGAAAAACGAAAACCUCAAAUUGGAUUUGACCCCAAAGAAAAUCCAUUUUGCUGUAAAAUUCUCAGUCACUGAUCUCAACAGGAGUGAUCGUUGUGUGAAAAAUGGAACAUAAGCUUGUACUAUCAGAUAAAUUUAUUAAUAAGUAAGAUUGGAUUAGCUUCAAUAAGGAAUUAUAAUUACGAAAGCUAAAUCUUUUAAAUUUUAGAGCAAUUAGAAAUCAAAGAGUUACAUGGUUAUUAAUUUAAAAAUUCAUAAAAUUAAUUAAAAAAUAUAUGAAUUGAUUAGAACACCUAUAUUAAUUAAAAAAAAUAAUAGGAAUGAUGCUGAUUCAAAAUUAAUGUUCAUUCUUAAAUCACUCUUACAAGCUCACUAGAAUCUCUCUAUGUUAAACCCAAAUGAAAACAAAAAACUAAAAAUAUGAGCGUUUAUUUUCAGAAAAACAAAUGGUCGUGAGACCAACACAAUUUUUGCCUAAAUUUCUUUUCAAGCGCUAAUAGUUAGCAUUAGUGGAAAGCUACCUCCAAGAAUAUGGCAUGUGGCAUUCCUCGACUCUAAUUUGGCCUUUGUUGGAUUUUUUUGUUUAACAAAACGGUGUGCUCGUGAGAAGAUAGAGACAAAGUUGAUUUGUCGCAUGUCAUGCACAAAUUAAAAAAUCCACUAACGCAUCAUGUCAUAAAAAAUACCGUUGGCCUUUGCUGGUUUCCUCCCUCGAAACCACCACCAAGAAGCCUUUAGCCUAUGGUUUUUCUCCUACACUUUUGGUACACUCACCUAUAUAACCAAACCCCUUUACUCCCCUUUACUUCAUCAAAUCAUAGCUCCUGAUAUCUUAAUCUCUACAAAUCCCACUUCAAAGAGUUUCCAACUCGUUGGUUCUAUAUUACAGUAACACAGAAAAUGAGUUCAGCAAGCAAAGCUUGGUUGGUUGCAGCAGCUGUUGGAGGUGUUGAGGCCUUGAAAGACCAAGGGUUCUGCAGGUGGAACUACACCUUGAGAUCCCUCCACCAACAUGCCAAGAACCAUGUCAGAUCAGCCUCUCAGGCCAAGAAGCUUUCUUCUUCAUCCUCUGCCAUGAUCUCGAAUAAAAUCAAGGAAGUGAGAGCAAAACAGUCUGAGGAAUCUCUAAGAAAAGUCAUGUAUUUGAGCUGUUGGGGCCCUUACUAAGCAAAGAAGCAAGAACAGAGAUUGAGGAAAUUAUCGUGAUAGGAUUACCCUGAUUGUUGCAAGUCGAUGUAAAUAUUUGUAAAUUUUGUUGCUGACUUAAUGGAAUCAAACAAUAUUAUUCUUGGAUUAGUUUUUCCUUGCACCUUUUAUGUUUUCCCACUUCUUUUGGUAGCACCUCAUGUCACAGGUGAAAACUAAAGGGAUCAUGACAAGGUUCAAUUUUAGUGCAUCACAGCAUUUGCUAAGGAUAUUUAAAUUAAUUGCAACCCCAAGCUAAAUAUCUAAUUUGGUUUAAAAAGUAUUUUAAAAAAUCAGCAACUCAACUGGAGGAGGGGUUGUAUCGCAAAAGCUAAAUAUCUUGAUAGGUUGACAAAUUAGUGCAAAUCUUAAACUGGAAUUCUCAAUUUCAAUCUGGCCCAGAAGAAAAUUAGUUUAGGAGUAUUUCUUCACUCACAAGUGUUUUUUUUAAUAUUAUAUUUUAUAAUUUUUUAGUUGAAUAUUGAAUUCUUUAAUAGUUAAGUUUCAUAUUUUUAUUUAGUUUUUUUUUUUACUUUUUUAAUUAUUUUUUGCCAUGAAUAAUCUUUUGAAUAAAUAUAAAAUUUAUUUCUAGCAACAAAAUUACUAGAUAUAAUUGAGUAAUAACGCAUAAUUAAAUAUUUUAAUCUUAUUAAAUAUUUUAAUCAAAUAUUAAUUCAUUCAAUUAAAUACAUGCAUAAAUAUUGUAAUAUAUAAUUGAGAAUUUUUUAUAUUAACAACCUCAUGAAAAACUUAAUUAUUAUUUUUUUUUUUUACUAAAAAGGAUAUAUAAUCCUCUACGAAGUGCUGUUGAAAUAGUUUACAUACAGUCCUCAUUGUGCAUGGUGAAUAUUUUGCAGGAGAUUCCCGGAUCAUUAAACAACUUCAUCAUUUAAAUGAUGAAUGCAGAGAGGUAUUUAUGGUGCAGCUUGGAUUCAGUUCAAAGAGAUCCAAUAUAUGUUUCCUUGCUUCGUCCAGAUGAAGGUUACGUUUGUGUGAUUGUGGAUGGCAGCUCUCAUGGGCAAUCCAGGCGUGUCUGGAUUUGGGGAACUGGUUUGAAACAAUGACAGUCACCGGAUGGCGGGUUUCUUGGGUUUUUGUGGUUUUGGAUUGAAUCUUCUUCCGGAACUUCUGGCAAUUAAACAUGGCUUAGCUGAAGCAUAGGAUAGAGGCCAUAGGAGGAUCAUUAUCGAUUCUCAAGAGGCAAUCAAGCUUACAAAAGAGAAGAAUUCUAAAUUUCAUAAAUUGGAUGCGGUUAUAUGUAGAUGUCAAGUUUUUUUGGCUAAGCAUGAUGUAAAGAAUCAUGAUUUGUUCCAGGUGUGGGACAUUCCUUCUCCGGGGCUACACUCUCUCCUUAUGACCGAUUCGUUGGUUCGUUGGGUUUCAAUUUUAGAAGAGUUUUUUAGUUUGUGUCAUUUAAUUUUCACUGCAUCAAAAAAAAAAAAAAUUCCUAACUAUUACUUCAACUUUCUUGCUUAUUAGCAAUCAUACAACAACAGCAGCAACAAGUAACAGCAUCACUUGUCUUUCAUCCUUUUACAGUUCCAUAACACCAAAACAGCUUUGUGAAUACAUGUUUAACCGUAAAAUAAAAUACGAAAAAAGAUGAAUUUUAAGAGAGAGAGAGAGAGGCUCUCAACUUUAUUUUAUAUUAAAGAAAACGAAAAGGAGAAGCAUGCAUUUUGACAUUUGUUUAUCCUCAGUCCCACACUUUCUUUCAGUCCUUACAAGUGGCAAAAAUGAGAAGUGCCACCAAAUUGUGACAUGCAUGACUCACCACCCUUCAGCUAUGCUCCUCCUUAUACGGUGGCUAGGAUUUAUUUAUUUUACGAAGCAAAACCAUGUGCUCAUUUCAAGGCAGGCAGAGAAGCUUUUGGCUUGUUGUGGAGUAAAGGGCAAAAAAAUCUAGCCAUCCCAAGAACCCGAUUUUGUCCCCACUUUCUUAUUGUCACCAUGUGGUAGUUGAAUGUUAAUACAGCCAUCUCACCAUAAAAAAUUACCAUCGGCUUUUGCUGGUUUCCUCACCCAAAACAACCAGCAGGAAGCCUUUAGCCUCAGGUUUUUUCCUCAACUUUUGGCAUUCUCACCUAUAUAACCAAACCCCAUCCUCCCAUCGGAUUCAUCAAAGCAUAGCUCGAGCUUUCUUACUCUCUACAAAUCCUACUACAAACUUGUUGGUUCUAUAUUACAGUAACAUAAAAAAUGAGUUCAGCGAGUAAAGCUUGGUUGGUUGCCGCUGCUAUCGGAGGUGUUGAGGCGUUGAAAGAUCAAGGGUUCUGUAGGUGGAACUACACAUUGAGAUCCCUCCACCACCAUGCCAAGAACCAUGUCAGAUCAGUCUCUCAGGCCAAGAAGCUUUCUUCUUCGUCCUCAGCCAUGAUCUCAAAUAUAGUCAAGGAAGAGAAGGCAAAACAGUCAGAGGAGUCUUUAAGAAAAGUCAUGUACUUGAGUUGUUGGGGUCCAAACUGAAGCUAUGAAUCUAGUAGAUGAAAUCGAGGGACUUAGUUUAUAGUUUAUAGGAGUAAAUCCUUGCAAGCUUAUGCAAAUUGUAAAUUUUGAUGCACAUUUUCUGAAAUCGAACAUUAUCACAUGUUUUUAUCAUUUCUUUUGGUAGCGCGAGUGCAUUUCCCUAGUGAGUAAAUUUAACAAAGCUCUUUUCUAGUUUUCUAGUGGAAUAAACAGGCAAUUAAUUUCAUUUAAUUUCAAUAUGAGAUAUGAAAUUCAACUGGAGGUUAAAAUCUCUUUCUCCCCACAUCCUCAGAUGGAUAAAAAGGCUAUCUCAAAUUGGAUUUGACCCCAAAGAAAAUCCAUUUUGUUGUAAAAUUCUCAGUCACUAAUCACAACAGGAGUGAUCAUUGUGUGAAAAAUGGAAGAGGACCUUGUACCAUCACAUAAAUUUAUUAAUAAGUAAGAUUGGAUCGAAUUCUUUUGAUAUUUAAAAAUACAGAAUUAUGUCUUUUUCUAUGUCAAAGUGUGCAGUUCAAGAAACUAGGAACGAUGCUGAUUCAAAAUUAAUGUUCAUUCUUAGAUCACUCUUACAAGCUCACUAGAAUCUCUCUCUGUUAAACCCAAAUGAAAAGAAAAAACUAAAAAUAUGAGCGUUUAUUUUCAGAAAUACAAAUGGUCUUGACCAAUACAAUUUUUGCCUAAAUUUCUAUUCAAGCGCUAAUAGUUAACAUUAAUGGAAAGCGACCUGCAUAUGACCUUCUUGCAGAAAGAAAACAACUGAACUUUUAACUUCCAUGCAUCAUAGCCAUUAAACCUGGCAUAGAUUAGAUUAGCAAAGCUGAGUCUGAAAACAAAUCCUCACAGAAAUCUGAAAACAUAAAACUAAAGUUAUUGUUUUAAUUAUUUUUCUAAUUAAUUUUAAAUUAUAAUUAUUUAUUUUCUAUUUAAUUUAUGCUAGAUGGAUUAUAUUAAUUAGAAUUUUUUUUAACUAUAAAUCCUUUUUUAUAACAAAUUUUAGAAUUAAUAUAAAUAGAAAUAUGUAGUUUAUUUUUAUAGAGAUAAAAACUAUUAUUUAUAUUUAAUAAAAAUAUAUAAAAAAUUAAAAUUUCUGAAAAGUUUAAUCUACAAUUUUAGAACUUGAAGUCUAGUUUUAUUUUGGCUAUAGUCUGUGUCAUGACUUAAACUGUCUAGUUUUUUACUGAACUGUAUUAAAUAUUAAUUUAGUAAAAUUCGAAUUGGAUUGGCUUGCGAGUUAAUCUAAUGAUCGAUUAAGUGGCCGUUUGGAUUUGCUGCAGCGGUUGCGGUUGAAAUGAAAAUAUGCAAUAUAGUGUUUGGUUAACACCAACCAUGUUUUUUAUUGAUGUGGGUCCCAGUCCAAAACUAAGGCUGGACUUCAGUUUUUGAAAAGCAAUUACCAAUUGCUUUUCAUGCGUUUUGCCCUCUCUUUCAUCGCCGACACUUUCCUCUUGUUUUCCCAACGAUCCCAACUCCUGUCCUUGAUUUUUAUGUUUCAACUCUCACAGCCUAUCCAUUUCCAAACCUCAGCAGCUUAGGAAAGAGAAAAGCUCACAAUCUGUUUUUUUUGAAAAGGUUUAUUCUACCCAUAUAACUUAUAAUUUUUUAUCGCCUUGUUAUUAAUAUGGGGUUUAAUUUUUAUUUUAUUCUACGACUGUCUAUUUUUAAAAAAAUUAUUUAAUCUAUCUUUUUUAAAUAGCAAUUAUUCUUAUAUAUAUUUUUAGUUUUAUAAUGUACCAAAGAAGUUAUUGUAAUUUAUCUUUAUUUUUUUUCUUUUAUAUUUGAUUAAAAAAAUAACCUCUAAGAUAAAAAAAAAAACAAAAAAAAACAUAUGAAUUAAAAAAAAAGUUAGGUCAAAUAUUUUAAUGCUUAUUGUAUUUUGUUUUUAUGAAAGAUAUUAAUUUUUUUAUUUUAAUAUUUAAUUACCAUUAACAAAUUUUUCUCAACUUAUCACUUCUUAGAUUUUUAUAUUUAUUUUAUUAAAUUUAAAUAAAAACUUAACAUUUUUCAAUUAAAAAAAUUCACAAUACAAUAAAAUGCAUUUACAAAAUUGGCGUUUAUUAAAAAAAUUCAUUUCUUUUGAAAAGUGCUUUUUGAAUCAUAAUUUUACCAAACACAAAACUGCUUUUUUUUUCUACCACAAUUUAAACCACAGUUUUUUAACCAAACACAAGAAACUGUUUUUUUUAAAACCACAACUCCAACCACAGUUUUAACCAAACACUAACUUUUUUUGAAAUCAAUCUCACAAAAAAUACUUUUUAUUAAACUAUUCUUUUCAAACCAUAAUUAUAAAAGCUACCACAAUACUAAACACAUUCAGUAAGGGAAAAAAAAAAAAAAACAAAAGAAAGAAAGCAUGCAGUUUCCUAGACGGUCCUGCUACCUUAAUUGAUACAGUUUCAUGCGUAUGAGCCUCCAAGAACAUGGCAUGUGGCAUUCCUCACCUCUAAUUUGGGCUUAGUUGGAUAUUUUUUUUAAGCAAAACGGUGUGCUCGCGGGAAGAUAGAGACAAGGUUGAUCUGUCGAUUGUUAUGAAUAAAUUAAAAAAUCUACACCCACCCCAUUUUAUCCCAACUUAUUUAAUGAAUCCAGUCGUCUACUAAGACAAUAGAUGCAUCAUGUCAUCAAAAAUACCGUUGGCCUUCGCUGGUUUCCUCACUCAAAACCACCACGAAGAAGCCUUGAGCCUCUGGUUUUUCUCCUACACUUUUGGUACACUCACCUAUGUAACCAAACCCCCUUACUCUCAUUUACUUCAUCAAAUCAUAGCUCCUGAUAUCUUAAUCUCUCCAAAUCCAACUUCAAAGAGUUUCCAACUCGUUGGUUCUAUAUUACAGUAACAGAGAAAAUGAGUUCAGCAAGCAAAGCGUGGUUGGUUGCAGCAGCUGUUGGAGGUGUUGAGGCGUUGAAAGAUCAAGGGUUCUGUAAAUGGAACUACACCUUAAGAUCGCUGCACCAACAUGCCAAGAACCAUGUCAGAUCAGCCUCUCAGGCCAAGAAGCUUUCUUCUUCAUCUUCUGCCAUGAUCUCGAAUAAAGUCAAGGAAGUGAAAGCAAAACAGUCUGAGGAAUCUCUAAAAAAAGUCAUGUAUUUGAUCAGCUGCUGGGGUCCUUACUAAAGCUAAGAAGCAAGAUGAAAUUGAGAAACUUAUCGUGAUAGGAUUACCCUGAUCGUUGCAAGUUGAUGUAAAUAUUUGUAAAUUUUGGUGCUGACUUAAUGGAAUCAAACUAUAUUAUUUUUUCAUUAAUUUUUCCUUGCACCAUUUAUUUUUUCUGUUUUCCCCCUUCUCUUGGUAGCACCUCGUGUCACAAGUGAAAAAGGAUCAUGACAAGGUUCAAGUUUAGUGCAUCACAGCAUUUGCUAAGGAUAUUUAAAUCAAUUGCAAUCUCAAGAUAGAAUCGAAAUUCUAAUUUCGUUACGAAAAUCUAUUUUAAAAAAGCUAGGCCUGCAACUUUGACUGGUUUUUUAAUGACAUCCAUGGAUUAAGAAAUAAUUAUUGGAUUAAAACCUUACCCCGUUUUUGGAGCCAAAUGGAAGUUAUAUAUAUAUAUAUAUAUAUAUAUAUAUAUAUAUAUAUAUAUAAUCUGUUAAAUGAAGAUCAACAGGGCUUCUUUACUUCAAUGUCAGAACUUUUGAGCAUUCAAGAAACUUGGAAUGUUGCAAAAUGGUUGAACUUGACAGAAAAGAAAUAUUUUUUUUUGAAGUGAAUAAUGUUUAGUAACGUAAUGAGAAUCCAUUUGAUCACUGCUCAAGUCGUUUAUGCAUCAAAAUUUUGCUUGAUGACAUGUCUGGAUAAGGAGAGCUUGAGAGUUGAGAACUUGGUAUUUUGUGACACACGCAAUGGAUCUACAAUUAUUGUCUGUCCUUUACUCAAGCCCCACUCCUGAAGAAAAACAGGAGGAUUUGCCUCCUAUACUUGAGGCUCACCUCGGAGUUUUAUAAAGCAAACCGUGUGCCUCUUUAUCAAAACAAGGCCCCGCUCUAGCAACAUGAUAAGAUGCAUGAAAAAGAAAUGUAUUUAAUGCCACCAAGUGGUCCUUGAUGGACAUAAAGAUUCAGUCCCAUCAUAGCUGGUGGUUUGGCUCCCUUAAGCUAAAACCACCAGCUACAGCUUGUUCCUAGCUUCCGGUUUCCUUCAAAUUUCUGGCACCUAGUCCGCUACUCUCUUUAUAAGCAAAUCCCAGUUUGCCAUUUACACCAUCGACACGAAUUCUCAAUUACAUCUCAUCCUUUUCAACUAAAAAUCUCACAUCAACGAGUUUCCAACUAUUGUUCUAUUUUAUAUUACAGAGAAAAUGAGUUCAGCAAGUAAAGCUUGGUUGGUAGCUGCUGCUAUUGGAGGUGUUGAGGCCUUGAAAGACCAAGGCUUCUGUAGGUGGAACUACACAUUGAGAUCGCUACACCAACAUGCCAAGAACCAUGUCGGGUCAAUUUCUCAGGCUAAUAAGAAGCUCCCUUAUUCAUCUUCUGCCAUUAUUUCAAAUAAAUUCAAGGAAGAGAAGAUGAAACAGUCAGAGGAGUCUCUAAGAAAAGUCAUGUAUUUGAGUUGUUGGGGUCCUAACUGAUACUCUCAAGAAAAAGGAAAUUCUGAGGAAAUCAGUUCAUAGGAUUAGAGUAAAUUUUUGCAAGUUGAUUUAAACUGUAAAUGCUUGUGCUGACAAUCAAAUAUAUCUCAUUUUAUUGGCAAAAUUUUGGGAAAAUGGCCUUAAAGUAACAUUAACAAAGGAUAUGGCUCAUGUUAAAAAAAACACCAGCAACUCAAUUGGAGGAGGAGUUGUAUCACAGAAGCUAAAUAUCUUGAUAAGUUGAUAAAUUAGGACAAAUCUUAAACUGGAAUUCUCAAUUUCAGUUUGGCCCAGAAGAAAAUUAGUUUAGGAAUAUUUCUUUACUCACAAGUGUUCACGGCAGGGUGAUGAUCACUGUAUGUGAAAUGAAAACGCUGUGUUUGUUUUCCGGAAAGUGGUUUCCGGGAAAGCACUUUCCAAACUUUCUCGUGUUUGUUUGCCAGUAGGAAAGUUGGUCAAUGGAAAACACUUUCCAGUAAAAGGAAAAUUUGGCUUGGUUUUCAGGAAAGUGUUUUCCUGAAAAAUUUGAGGGGAAAACACUUUCCAGAAGUUGUGAAAAUUUUAGAAAUGUCAUUAUUUGCUGAUUAUAUCAAAUUUGAUCCUCAAACUUUUGAUUGCUAUAUAUAUUUUGUUUUGAAUAUUUAUUUUUCAAUUUCAUCUCUUAAAAUUUUAUUUUUAUAUUAACUUUGGUCCUUAUUUUUAUAAUUGUUAUUUGCUUUUUUCUUACCAUUUUUUUAUUGAAAUUUUUUAUUUAUCAAAUUUGAUCCUCAUUCUUUUUGAUUGUUACUUAUUUUAUUUGAAAUAAUUUAUGAAAUGUUGAUUAUUAUUAUUUUAAUUUCUUCAUUUUUCAUUUUUUUUUAUUUUUUUAGAUUUGAUCCCUAUUAUUUUGAUUAUUAUUUGUUUUAUUUGAGAUAAUUUAUGAAAUUAUAUUUUUUUUUUUCAAUUUCAUUCUCAUUCAACUUUUUAAUUUGUAAGAUUUGUUCCUCAUUAUUUUAAUAAACUUGAGAAAAAUAAAAUAUUAAUAAGUUAUUUUCCAGCUCAUUUUUCAUGACAUAACUAAACACUGGAAAGUGUUUUCCAGUUCAUUUUCCAUAACACUACCAAACAUCGGAAAAUACUUUCCCGGAAUUCACUUUCCAGGAAUUCACUUUCCUCGGAAUUCACUUUCCAAAAGAAAUUCACUUUCCUGCAAACAAACGGAGCCUUAAAUUACAAAAGAAUUGUAUAAAUAAUUAACCCGAAGAAUUUUUGAAUAAUUAUAUGAUGAAUUUAUGAAAAACUUUCACACAGAAAUUGGGUUUUUAAAGACAACAAUUAUAGAUGAGAGAUGUGUGUGGGGGUCUAAAUAUGGGAUUAGCCUUAAAAAAUAUCGAUCUUGGGACGUGAAGAAUAUUUUCAAACCAAUUGAUUUGGUGAAAACUUUGGUGUUAUCAUUGAUGUUGGCAAAACGUUAUCUAGAAAAAGCUAUUGGUAUAGAAAAUAUAUACUUGAUUUUCAUAGACAUGUGAUUAUUGGCUUGAUGUUUGGAUCACGACCCCAACAAUAACAAGGAGGCGAAGGUUUAUUGCCAUUUGGGUCAACAAAAACAAUUUUGUUCUGGUAAAAAUGUAUGCCAUCAUUUUCCUCUCAUGUUUUUUAAACAAAUAUGCUCGAAAGACAUGAAAAGAAAAGAAAAAAUUAGAAAAAGAAAACUUGUUUUGUAUAGAGUUUACAAGUGUAGAUAGUUUUUGUUAAAUUUUUGCAAGAAAGAGCAAAGUUUAAUUAUCUUGCUUAGAGGUAGUUUAGUUAAAAAAAAGAGUGGAAAAGUAAGCAAUAUGAUAUCUGAAUGAGUGUACAAGUUCAAGACGCCUUACAUGAGAAGUCCAAAUUUAAUUAUCAUGUUUUGGAGACAGGUAGUCAAAAAGACUUGAAGAAAGAUUUGUGAUUUUUUUUAUAGACAAGUGGUUACAGAAUAAUGAAAAAGGAUAUCUUAUACUUUAGAAAAUAUAUGAUCAUAGUGUUUUGGAGACAUUUAUGAAGAUUCAAUUAAGACAUGAAGAUUUUAGUAUGAAAAAUUAAAGAAGCUAGAGUUUAUUUUCAAUAUAAGUUAUAUAUUUAUUACACUGAAUAGGCUAAUUUGUUUGUUUUGUUUAUUGUAAUUUCAUGCUUGCAAGAGUUAUUUUUCAAUGCUAUUGUGUAAUCUUUUAUAUAUAUAUAUAUAUUCAAUUACUAUCUUUGCUUAUUUUUUUAUUGUCUAAUUAAAAUAAAACUAACUUAUUAAAUUUAAAUGAGGCUAUAACCUGAGUUAUUUGUUUUUUUUUAUUUCUUUUAAAUAUGCUUGUGACACCUAGAUUAUAGUUGUCUUUUUUUAUUUUUUAUUUUUUAUUUUAAUUGAUACCUUUUUAAAAAAAUAUUUUUUUUUAAUUUAUAUUUGCAUUAAUAUCUCUUCUCAAUUAUUUUUUAUUUUUAAUUGAUUUUUCCUUCAAUUUCAUCCAUAUCCUUUGGUUUAAUUUGAUUUUUAAAUCAAACUUAUUUCUUAUUCUUUUGAUAUUUUUAAACCUUUUAUAAAUUGAUUUUUUUUCAAUUACAUUCCUUGGCAUUUAAUUUCAAUUUAUUUUUCUAUUAAAUUUGGUUCCCGUUAUUUGUUUUUCUUCUUGUCUUUUAUGGGGUUAGUCUCAUCCUCAUUACAAGGGUCACAAGUUUCGAAGGUUAACAUUGGUUGACUUUGAUUUUUUUAAGUUUUUUUAUCAAAUUGAUUUAUUUUUAAUUUUAUCCUAUAAUAUUUAAUUUUUUUUAAUUAGUUUUUUUUUAUCUUUUUUUAUAUGGAGUUAUCUCAAUCCUAUACCCAUAGUCUUAGAGUUAGUGGCUUAAUCCAAGUUAACUCGGAUUUGUUUUCAUAUAUAAAUAUAAUUUUCUUAAUUCCAUUGCUAAAGAUCUUUUUAUUGAGAAUUUUGCUUCGUUGUUUUUUUUGUUUGCCUUCCAAUGCAGUCGGUCUCAGUCUCAUGACCACGGUUGUGGAUUUUAAAAGUUAAUAUUUGUUAAUUUUGAUUUGUUUAGGUUUUUUUUUUUUUCAAUUUCAUCAUUCAACAUUUAAAUUUUUAGGAUUGAUCUUCAUGCUUUUUUUUUAUUCACUUUCUUUUUUAUGGGGCUAUCUCAAUCUAAUGCCCAAAAUCGUGAAGUUAGUGAGUUAACCUAGCAGAGACAAGUUUGAUAUUAGAAUAAAUGGAUUUAAAUAAUAUUUUAUUUUUAACUUUUUCGUAUUAAAAUGAUUUGAAUAUAUAUAUAUAUAUAUAUAUAUAUAUAUUUUAAAAGCAAAAACAAACUAGGUAUAAUAAUAAAAACUUAAUUUAUCUCCAUUUUUUUAAUGACCAAGUUGUAUUCCAAUAAUUGAAGGGGAAAUAGAGACCACUUGUCUUCUAAAAAAUACCGUUGGCCUUCGCUGGUUUCCUCACUCAAAACCACCACCAAGAAGCCUUUAGCCUCUGGUUUUUCUCCUACAAUUUUGGUACACUCACCUAUAUAACCAAACCCCUUUACUCCCAUUUCCUUCAUCAAAUCAUUGCUCCUGAUAUCUUAAUCUCUUCAAAUCCCACUUCAAAGAGUUUCCAACUCGUUGGUUCUAUAUUACAGUAACAUGAAAAAUGAGUUCAGCGAGUAAAGCUUGGUUGGUUGCAGCAGCUGUUGGAGGUGUCGAGGCCUUGAAAGACCAAGGGUUCUGUAGGUGGAGCUACACCUUGAGAUCCCUUCACCAACAUGCCAAGAACCAUGUCAGAUCAGCCUCUCAGGCCAAGAAGCUUUCUUCUUCAUCCUCUGCCAUGAUCUCGAAUAAAAUCAAGGAAGUGACAGCAAAACAGUCGGAGGAAUCUCUAAGAAAAGUCAUGUAUUUGAGCUGUUGGGGUCCUUCCUAAAGCUAAGAAGCAAGAUGGAAUUGAGAAAAUUAUCGUGAUAGGAUUACCCUGAUCGUUGCAAGUUGAUGUAAAUAUUUGUAAAUUUUGGUACUGACUUAAUGGAAUCAAACUAUAUUAUUUCUUGAUUAAUUUUUCCUUGCACCAUUUAUUUUUUUCUGUUUUCCCACUUCUUUUGGAAAGGAUCAUGAAAAGGUUCAAUUUUAGUGCAUCACAGCAUUUGCUAAGGAUAUUUGAAUCAAUUGCAAUCUCAAGAUAGAAUCUAAAUUCUAAUUUGGUUAAGAAAAUCUAUUAAAACAAAAUCCAGGUCUAACUUUGACUGGUUUUUUAAUGACAUAUAUAUUAUCUGUUAAAUGAAGAUCAAUAGGGCUUAUUUAUUUAAAUGUCAGAACUUUUGAACUUUCAAGAAAAUUGGAAUGUGGCAAAAUGGUUGAACCUGACAAAAAAAAAAAGUAUUUUCUUGAAUAUCUGAAAAAUGAAUUAGCUCGUAAGAAAUAAUUAUUUUGAAGUGAAUAGUGUUUCGUAACAUUAGAGAAUCCACUUGCUCACUGCUCAGGUCGUUUAUGCGUCAAAAUUUUGCUGGAUGCCAAGUCUUUAGAACGCUCGAUUAAGGAGAGCUUGAGAGUUCAGAACUUUGUAUUUUGUGACGCAUGCAAUGGAUCUACAAGACUACAAGUAUUGUCUGUCCUUUACUCAAGCCCCACUGCUGAAGAAAAACAAGUGGAUUUGCCUCCUAUACUUGAGGCUCACUUCGGAUUUUUAUAAAGCAAACCGUGUGCUCUUUACCAAAACAUGGCCCCGCUCUAGCAACAUGAUAAGAUGCAUGAAAAAGAAAUGUAUUUAUAAUUCCACCAAGUGGUCCUUGAUAGACAUAAAGAUUCAGUCCCAUCAUAGCAUAACCACGAUAAAAUAAUACCACUGGCUCCCUUAAACCAAAACCAGCAACCACAGCUUGCUCCUUGCUUCCGGUUUCCUCCCAAUUUCUGGCAAUUAGUUCCCAACUCUCUUUAUAAGCAAAUCCCAGUUUGCCAUUUACACCAUCGACACGGAUUCUGAAUCACAUCUCAUCGUUUUCAACUAAAAAUCCCACAUCAAAGAGUUUCCAACUAUUGUUCUAUUUUAUAUUACAGAGAAAAUGAGUUCAGCAAGUAAAGCUUGGUUGGUAGCUGCUGCUAUUGGAGGUGUUGAGGCCUUAAAAGACCAAGGCUUCUGUAGGUGGAACUACACAUUGAGAUCGCUACGCCAGCAUGCCAAGAACCAUGUCGGGUCAAUUUCUCAGGCUAAUAAGAAGCUCCCUUGUUCAUCUUCUGCCAUUAUUUCAAAUAAAUUCAAGGAAGAGAAGGCGAAACAGUCAGAGGAGUCUCUAAGAAAAGUCAUGUAUUUGAGUUGCUGGGGUCAAAACUGAUACUCUCAAGAAAGAAGAAAUUCUGAGGAAAUCAGUUCAUAGGAUUAGAGUAAAUUUUUGCAAGUUGAUUUAAACUGUAAAUGCUUGUGCUGAUUGCCAAUCAAAUAUAUCUCAUUUUAUUGGCAAAAUUUUGGGAAAAUGGCCUUAAAGUAACAUUAACAAAGGAUAUGGCUCAUGUUAAAAAAAAAACCAGCAACUCAAUUGGAGGAGGAGUUGAUAAAUUAGGACAAAUCUUAAACUGGAAUUCUCAAUUUCAAUUUGGCCCAGAAGAAAAUUAGUUUAGGAAUAUUUCUUUACUCACAAGUGUUCACGGCAGGGUGAUGAUCACUGUAUGUGAAAUUAAACAGGCCUUUAAAUUACAAAAGAAUUGUAUAAAUAAUUAACCCGAAGAAUUUGUGAAUAAUUAUCUGAUGAAUUUAUGAAAAACUUUCACACAGAAAUUGGGUUUUUAAAGACAACAAUUAUAGAUGAGAGAUGUAUGGGGGUCUAAAUAUGGGAUUAGCCUUAAAAAAUAUCGAUCUUGGGACGUGAAGAAUUUCAAACCAAUUGAUUUGGUGAAAACUUUGGUGUUAUCAUUGAUGUUAGCAAAACGUUAUCUAGAAAAAGCUAUUGGUAUAGAAAAUAUAUACUUGAUUUUCAUAGACGUGUGAUUAUUGGCUUGAUGUUUGGAUCACGACCCCAACAAUAACAAGAAGGCGAAGGUUUAUUGCCAUUUGGGCCAACAAAAACAAUUUUGUUCUGGUAAAAAUGUAUGCCAUCAUUUUCCUCUCAUGUUUUUUAAACAAAUAUGCUCGAAAGACAUGAAAAGAAAAGAAAAAAAUUAGAAAAAGAAAACUUGUUUUGUAUAGAGUUUACAAGUGUAGAUAGUUUUUGUUAAAAGUUUUUGCAAGAAAGAACAAAGUUUAAUUAUCUUGCUUAGAGGUAGUUUAGUAAAAAAAAAGAGUGGAAAAGUAAGCAAUAUGAUAUCUGAAUGAGUGUACAAGUUCAAGACGCCUUACAUGAGAAGUCCAAGUUUAAUUAUCAUGUUUUGGAGACAGGUAGUCAAAAAGACUUGAAGAAAGAUUUGUGAUUUUUUUUAUAGAUUUGUGAUUUUUUUUAUAGACAAGUGGUUAUAGAAUAAUGAAAAAGGAUAUCUUAUACUUUAAAAAAUAUAUGAUCAUGGUGUUUUGGAGACAUUUAUGAAGAUUCAAUUAAGACAUGAAGAUUCUAGUGUGAAAAAUUAAAGAAGCUAGAGUUUAUUUUCAAUAUAAGUUAUAUAUUUAUUACACUGAAUAGGCUAAUUUGUUUUUUUUGUUUAUUGUAAUUUCAUGCUUGCAAGAGUUAUUUUUCAAUGUUAUUGUGUAAUAUAUAUAUAUAUAUAUAUUCAAUUACUAUCUUUGUCUAUUUUUUUAUUGUCUAUUUAAAAUAAAACUAACUUAUUAAAUUUAAAUGAGGCUAUAACCUGAGUUAUUUGUUUUUUUUAUUUCUUUUAAAUGUGCUUGUGACACCUAGAUUAUAGUUGUCUUUUUUUUAUUUUUUUAUUUUAUUUUUUAUUUUAAUUGAUACCUUUUUUAAAAAAUAUAUAUAUUUUUUAAUUUAUAUUUGCAUUAAUAUCUCUUCUCAAUUAUUUUUUAUUUUUAAUUGAUUUUUCCUUCAAUUUCAUCCAUAUCCUUUGGUUUAAUUUGAUUUUCAAAUCAAACUUAUUCCUUAUUCUUUUGAUAUUUUUAAACUUUUUUAUAAAUUGAUUUUUUUUCAAUUACAUUCCUUGGCAUUUAAUUUCAAUUGAUUUUUCUAUUAAAUUUGGUUCCCGUUAUUUGUUUUUCUUCUUGUCUUCUAUGGGGUUAGUCUCAUCCUCAUUACAAGGGUCACGAGUUUCGAAGGUUAACAUUGGUUAACUUCAAUUUUUUUAGGUUCUUUUAUCAAAUUGAUUUAUUUUUAAUUUUAUCCUUUAAUAUUUGAUUUUUUUAAUUAAUUUUUUUUAUCUUUCUUUAUAUGGGGUUAUCUCAAUUCUAUGCCCAUAGUCUUAGAGUUAGUGCCUUAAUCCAAGUUAAAUCAUAUAUACAUAUAAUUUUCUUAGUUCCAUUGCUAAGGAUCUUUUUGUUGAGAAUUUUGCUUCAUUGUUUUUUUUUGUUUGCCUUCCAUGCAGUCGGUCUUAGUCUCAUAACCACGGUUAUGGAUUUUAAAAGUUAACAUUUGUUAAUUUUGAUUUGUUUAGGUUUUUUUUAAAAUUGAUUUUUUUUUAAUUUUAUCAUUCAACAUUUAAAUUUUUGGGAUUGAUCUUCAUACUUUUUUUUUUCACUUUUCAUUUCAUGGAGCUAUCUCAAUCUAAUGCCCAAAAUUGUGAAGUUAGUGAGUUAAUCUAGAUUGACCAAAAUCUUUUUUUAUUGAUUUUUUUAAAAUAUUUAUUUUUAGUUGUCACUCAAUAUUAGAUUGUUUGAGUUUCAUAUUUUUUUCAAUUUGUUUUUGUUAACAAUUCUUUGUAUUGUUUAUUGGCACGAAUAAUCUUUUAAUUAAACAAAAAGUUUAUUCUAUAAAACAAAGUUAUUGAACAUAAGUAAGUAGAUAACAUGGGUUGCAUGAUCAAAUAUUUUAAUCUUAAUAAGUCAUUGAUUAAAUAUUAAUUUAUUUAAUUAAAUAUAUGUAUAAAUAUUUUAAUAUAUGAUUGAGAAUUUUUUAUAUAAAAAACAUGAAGAAAAACUUAUUUAUUCUUUAUUUUUUUAUUAAAAAAUUAAGAUAUAUAAUCCUCUACGAAGCGCUGUUGAAAUAGUUUAUUGUAGUUUUCUAGACCAUCACAAUUGUUUACAGACAGUCCUCACUAUUACUUCAAUUGUCUUCAAAAACAGUCUUGCCCAAAACAAAACAUUGAUUGAUAAGUGACAAACCCCAUUUGUUUAAUGCGUGUGACUCAGAGCAGAGACAAGUUUGAUAUUAGAAUAAAUGGAUUUAAAUAAUAUUUUAUUAUUUUUUAAAAAAAUAUUUUUAACUUUUUCAUAUUAAAAUGAUUUAAAAAUAAUAAUAAAAAAUAUAUUUUUUUUUAAAGCAAAAACAAACUAGGUAUAAUAAAAAAACUUAAUUUAUCUCCAUUUUUUUAAUGACCAAGUUGUAUUCCAAUAAUUGAAGGGGAAAUAGAGACCACUUGUCUUGUAAAAAAUACCGUUGGCCUUUGCUGGUUUCCUCACUCAAAACCACGACGAAGAAGCCUUGAGCCUCUUGUUUUUCUCCCACACUUUUGGUACACUCACCUAUAUAACCAAACCCCUUUACUCCCAUUUACUUCAUCAAAUCAUAGCUCCUGAUAUCUUAAUCUCUCCAAAUCCCACUUCAAAGAGUUUCCAACUUGUUGGUUCUAUAUCACAGUAACAGAGAAAAUGAGUUCAGCAAGCAAAGCUUGGUUGGUUGCAGCAGCUGUUGGAGGUGUUGAGGCGUUGAAAGACCAAGGGUUCUGUAGGUGGAACUACACCUUGAGAUCCCUGCACCAACAUGCCAAGAACCAUGUCAGAUCAGCCUCUCAGGCCAAGAAGCUUUCUUCUUCAUCCUCUGCCAUGAUCUCGAAUAAAGUCAAGGAAGUGAGAGCAAAACAGUCUGAGGAAUCUCUAAGAAAAGUCAUGUAUUUGAGCUGUUGGGGCCCUUACUAAGCAAAGAAGCCACAUGAAAUUGAGGAAAUUAUCGUGAUAGGAUUAGCCUGAUUGUUGCCAGUUGAUGUAAAUUGAUUUUUAAAUAUUGUUGCUGACUUCAUGGAAUCAAACCAUAUUAUUUUUGGAUUAGUUUUUCCUUGCACCAUUUAUUUUAUAGUUUCUGUUUUCCCAUUUCUUUUCUCAGGCCCUCAUGUCGCAAAGUGAAAAGGAUCAUGACAAGGUUAAUUUUAGUGCACCACAGCUUAAAAAAAAAUUGAGGGGCAUUUGUAUUCAAAGAUAUUUGCAUCAAUCGGAAUCUCACUACAAUCUAAAUUAUAAUUUGGUAAAAAUAAAAAUUCAAUUCAAGAAAAAUUAGAUUCGAUUUAGAACUUAUACUGGUUUUUCAAAGACAUAAAUGGAUUAAGAAAUAAUUAUUGGACUUAUCCCCUUUUUGGAGCCGAAAGGAAGUUCAUUAGUCUUUUGGUUUUUUGCAUAAAUGAAGAUGAAUAGGGAUUAUUUUCUUCAAUGUCAAAACUUGUGAAAUUUCAAGAAACUUGGGAAUGCUGCAAAAUGGUUGAACUGGCACAAAAAAAUUAGUAUUUUCUUGAAUCUCUGACAGAUGAAUUAGAUCGCAAGAAAUACUUUUUUUUGAAGUGAAUAAUGUUUCGUAACGUAAGAGAAUCAUUUCUCUACUACUCGUAAAAACAUAAAUUAUUUGGAUUCUUUUUUUUAAGGUUUAGCUAUAUCUAUUGGUGUAAAUAUUAUAAUAACUUUUUUUAUGUAAAAUUAGCAGUUUGUUUUAUAAAACAUUUAGCAAAAUAAUAUCAUUUAAAAAAGAUUUGAUUAAAUAACAUGUUUUUAUCAUAUCAUGCCAAAUAUGAUAUUUAUUAAAUGUUGUUAUUUGUAGAAGUAACAAAUUGAAACUCCAAUCAUCUAGCUCAACAGGUUAAUUAAUUGAAUUAAGUUAUAGUAGUUAUAUAAACUGAUCGAUGUUUUCAUAUAAAAAUGAUAAUUUAAUGAAUUUUAUUAAAAUAUUUUUUAUGAAUCAAAAUAUAUAUCUUUUUUCAACUUAUAUACAAAAAAAUAGAUUUUAAUUAAAAUCUUAAAAUAUUAUUAUUCACAUAGUGAUUGUCCUUUGUUUUUCAUUGUCAAUGAUGUAGCUAUAUUUGCAAUAACUGGUAAUUCUAAAUAAUCAGAUGCAACUCUGCUGUAACUAAAUGAGAUUUGGCCCAAACAUAUUAUUUGGAUAGCUUUGCAUUUGUGAACUAAUAGGACAUGUAUAAACUUAGAAAGAAGGUCUAAUUAUACCAUAACAAAAUAAUGCUUAAAAGAACCAUAACUUUUGAUUAGACACUUAAAUUCUUUACAUGAGUUUUCAGAGGAAGUUUUUUCUAUUGUAGCUACUGUAUCGCUAUAUGAACCGUUAGAUUUUUAAAUAUAAAAAAUCUAGUUGAGUCACUUUGAUUUUAAUAACUUUGAGAUUUUUUUUGUUAUUUUUCGAAUCGAUCAACUGGUUUCACUGACCAUUAUGAAUCGGUUGAGCCAGAUAAUUGAAAUUUCACCUUGUCAUGUUUUAAAAGUGUGAUAUUUAUUAAAUGUCGCUAUUAUUUUAAUUUUUUUAAAAAUAAUAAUAUUUAAUAAAUAUUAUAUUUUUAAAGCACAAUAAAAUCAAAAUAUGCCAUUUCAUAAAAAAAAAAAUCUUCUCUGUUAAUUUGCCAAUUGUUUUGAUUUUAUUCACUAAUUUCCUAAUUUAUCCCUUUUUUUCCGUAACACAGCUAGCUAUAAUGUGCGGGUUCUUCAUUUAUUUAUUUUUCUCAACUGUGAUACAUAACAAUUAAUUUUUUUUCCACGUUUGUUAUUUUGGAAAAAAAAAAAUCGUAUCUUGUGACACAUGCAAUGGAUCUACAAUUAUUAUUGUCUUCAGGAGGUAAUCCUGUCCGUUCCCUGUUUUUGAGUAGAUGCCUAGACAAAUGCUAAAAUGCUAUCCUUCCAGCCCCACUACUAAAGAAAAACAAGUGGAUUUGCCUCCAAUACUUGAGGCUCAAUUUUGAUUUUUAUAAAGCAAACCGUGUGCCUCUUACCAAAAACAAGUCCCCACUCCAGCUUUGUCGUAAUUGAAUAUGAUAAGAUGCAUGAAAAAGAAAUCCCCCAUUUUUUCUCCAUUUGUAUUUAAUGCCACCAAGUGGUCCUUGAUGGACAUAAAGAUUCAGUCCCAUCCUAGCCUAACUGCACUAAAAUAAUACCACUGGCUUUAACUUGUGCCAAAACCACCAGCCACAGCUUAUCCCUGGCUUCCGGUUUCCUCCAAUUUUCGGGUCCUCUAGUCCCCUCCUCUCUAUAUAAGCAAUCCCCAGCUUGUCAUCUCCACCAUCAAACACCAUUUCCCUUCUCAAUUACAUCUCAACUUUUUCAAAACGUUGUCCAUCUUCUAGCUCUUCAGUUCAAUCGAAAGAAAUAGAAAAAUGAGUUCAACAAGCAAAGCUUGGGCUGUUGCCACUAGUAUUGCAGCUGUGGAGGCUUUGAAAGAUCAAGGAUUUUGCAGAUGGAACUACACAAUAAGAUCACUAUACCAACAUGCCAAGAACCAAGGCAAGUCAUCCUCUCUGCCCAAGAAGCUCUCUUCUCCAGCUUCUACUGUGGUUGCCGGUAAAGUAAGAGAGAAUCAGAAAGCAAGGCAAUCCGACGAGUCACUGAGGCAGGUCAUGUACUUGAGUUGCUGGGGUCCUUACUAGCCAGGCAGUGAACUACCAGCAAGGAACUAUGGCCAUGCAUGCACUGGUUGCAGCAUAGAGACAAUCGAAGUCUUUCCAAGAGAGACUUAUUUGGAGAAACAUGACAAGGCCGACUUCUUAUGACGAUGGACGCUGGAACCCAUCAACGAUUAGUCAGCUUCAUUUGAAUGUUAUGCUCUAGCAAUAUAUGUUUCAAUCAAUUGUAGCCCAAUGAAUUGCUGAAUGAUGGGAGCAAAUUCUUUCCAUUGCUGCAACAACUUGCAAGUGAUGUAAAUUGUAAUUUUUCAGAAUGUAACGGCAUUUAAAUUAAGACUCAAUUGAAUCAGUAAGCUAAUUACAUGAGUGGAUUAAAGUCUUGUUCUCUGCUUUUAGCCCAUAGGGAAUAAUUACUACAACGUCAAAACCUGUGUGCCUUCAUGAAACUUGGACUGUGGCAGAGUGGAUGAACCUCACACGACACUUUCUACUAUAAGUUUAUAUAUUGGGAUUAGGCUGCAGUCAAGUCUUGAGUAACAAAAAUUAAACCGGGUGGGGUUUUUUAUUGUGGCAGUGUGCGACAUCGCGGCGAAAAAUAUAAGUGUUUUUCAUUUUAAAUCGACAAUGUAAAUCUAUAUCUAUUUUAAAUCUACAAUGUAAAUCUAUAUCUAUUUGGCAAAUGGAGAGACAAGAAAUUCUUGUUUUUUGUUGGUGGAAAAUGGAAUGGGAGUCGUCACCUAGUAUUUUGGUCACUAGAAAUUUUAACUGGUCUCAGAGAUCGGGCACGGGGACUGGUUGCGUAAAGAGAAGGUAUUAGCACCCCAAAUACGCCUUACCUAAGAUAAGCUGCAUUAUUUUAUUGUCUGAUAAAAUCUAAGGUCUUUUCGUGUUUUCCUAGUUGUUGGUAUAGUUCAAGAAAAGUCCUCCUCGGUAAGGAGAUCCUUAUCUUAAUGGGUAAUUCUGACGUUAACAAAAGAAUUUAAUAUUCAGAAUAUGUCUUACGUAUAAGAUCGUAACCCCAAAUACUAAGUCCUCCUCGGUAAGGAGAUCCUUAUCUUAAUGGGUAAUUCUGACGUUAACAAAAGAAUUUAAUAUUUGGAAUACGUCUUACGUAUAAGAUCGUAACCCCAAAUACUAAAAGAAAACACAAUAAUUUUUUUGGAAGUUUUGAAAUAUUGGUCUAGUUCUCAUGGCUUGAAUAAACUGGUUAUUAAAGCCAACAUGCAUGUUAAUACAUAUAUUGUUUUGAAGUUUCCUUUGUUGCGUGAAAAUACGAUGUUAUAAUAUUUAUAUAUAUAUAUUGGAGAGACUAGGCCGUAUGCAUUAAAACAAAAACAUUUUUUUUAUAUAUAUAUUUUUGAUGUUUUGACGAAAACCGGGUAUUUUAAUACUUGAUUUGUAUCUUUACGGUAUAAAAAUACAAACCAAUAUUAAACCAUUUUGACAAAAAAAUAUGCAGGAAAAUCAUAGGAUUUUUUAUAAUAUAUUUUUUUGAAAGCAAAACAUUUUUUAUUUUAAAAUUUUUUGAUGUUUUGACGGAAACCGAGUAUUUUAAUACUAGAUUUGUAUCUUUACAGUAUAAAAAUACAAACCAAUAUUAAACCAUUUUGACAAAAAUAUGCAGGAAAAUAAACAAUAUUUUUUUCAAAUAUUUUUUAGAAUAUUUCUUUUUAUUUUAUACACACACAUAAUAUAAAACAAUAUAAUAUAUAAUAUAAUAUAUAAUAUAAUAUAUAAUAUAAUAUAUUAUGUGGGCUGGGCCGACCCAAAUAAAUGGGCCAGGCUCAGCCCAGCAUGGAUUGGGCCAAUCUCGGCCCAUUCAAUCUCUCAUUUUUGUCUGGGCCAGACUGGCCCAGAAUCAAUCUGGCCCAGCGCAAGAAACCCAUCGAGAGGGGAAUUAUUUUUCCCCUCCUAUCAAUUCUACAUGCAGGAGGAAAACGCCACGAGAAAAAAAUGCAGGGAGAAGACUUUACCUGGCGUGGAGGAGGUGGUCGUUGGUGGUGCUGCGAUGGAGGCCGGUGGCGGUGUCGUGGCUCACGGACGGCGGCUCCAAGCGGCGGUGCUGCUGUUUCAAACGGCGGAGGGUGAGGAUACUGCUCUUCCUUUCUCCUCCGUAUGGCUUCCUCUUCUUUCGUUUUUGGUGGUUUCCUCAGUUCGGGUUUGCUAGUUGUUCUUUUUGGUUCGGUUCUUUCCCUCCUUUUCCUAUGUUUUCUCUUUUUUUUUCUUUCGGUUUGUUCCUUCUCUUCCCUCUCUACUGAUCGUUCUCUCUCUUCGGGUUUUCUCCUUUCUUUCCCCUCUCUCUAUUCGAGCCUCUCUUUUCGUUUUCUUUUUUUUCCUCUUUUUUCCUCCCCCUCGCGUGCUGGCGUCCAGUCUUCAUUUAUAUGGGGCAAGGGAGCGGGGGCGUCGCUAUUGCCACCCUAUGGCAGCGCACGGGGAGCAGGGCUUUGCUGCCCUGCCACAGCGCCGGGCUGGCUGGCCAGUGGGCGUGGCUGGUAGGGCGCGGCUCCCUCGACUUUUCAUCAUGAGAGCGCAUGGGGGGGCGGUUUUGGCAGAUGUGGCAUGUCGGGUUCAACGACGAAAGAAGAAAAAAUUGCCUUCCCCUGCUGCACGUCCAGGGGAAGAGAUAGGGAACAGUGUCGUUCAAAACGACACUAUUCUGUUUUUUUUUUUUUUAACAUGAAACGGCGCCAUUUUAGACAAAACGCGCCGUUUCAUUUAAAUCAAAAAGGGGCGCCGAAAGGCGUCAUUGUCCAAGUCAGUCCUUAAUUAUAUUUUGUUCAUUUCAAUUGCAUCCCUUCCAAUUUCGGUCGCCACCCCUAUAUUUGUCCGCGUUUUUCACUUCAAUCCUUGGCCUCUGAUUUAUGCAAUUUGACCCUCAAUUAAUCAAUAAACUUCCAAUUUCUUCAAUUUAGCCCAUGAUUUUGUUAAUUACAACCCCUAUAUUUACACGCCUUUUCCAAUUUGGUCCUUGGUUUCGGAUAUUCUCAAUUCAGUCCCUAAUUGGCCAUUAAAGUUCAAUAUUUAUGCAAUUAAGCCCUUGAUUUGACCAAAUCAAUUCCUAAAAAUUAUAAUUUGACCCCAGAACUUUAAUUUCUUCCAAUUAAAGCCCAAAUUGACAUAAAAAUCAAUUUUUCUUGCAAUCAAAACCUCUAUAAAUUCAAUUAAACUUGCAAUAAAAUCCAAUUAAGUCCAUAAACAUCCAAUUUUGAACUUUUCUCUUCAAAUUGAAUUUUUUUCUUUUCCAACUGGGCUUUCAUCAUUCAAGGAUACACUGUCAAAAUUUCAAUCUUUGUAUUUUUAACCUCCUAUUAUUUUUUUAUUUUUUUAAUUUCUUCCGGCUAUAUAUAUAUAUAUAUAUUUAUUAUUAUUAUUAUUUAUUACUUUUAUUAUUUAUUUUGAUUUUUAUUAUUUUUGUUAUUAUUAUAUUUUUUAUUUAUUUUUAUUUUUAUUUUUAUUUUUGUGUGGGGACCCAAAAAUGGGUUACAACAUCGAUGUUGAAGAUGCACUAUUUACUUUUUCAAAGAGAUGAUUGGAUUAAAAGAAAAAAAAAGAAGAAGGUAAAAUGUAAGGUGAUUUUGAAUUUUAUAUAAAAAGUUUAUCGUGGUUUUUUAUAUAUUUAUUUUUAUAGAUGAUUGGUCCGAAAUUAAAUUUAGAUAUCAAUUUUUUUUUUAGUUUUUUUUUAAGAGGAAAGGACUAUUGGAUUAGUAGAGAGAGAAAAAAUAAUUAUUAACGAUUAUUCUAGCCAUAAAAAAUAAUUAAAAUUGGUGUUAAUAGAUUAUAUUUUUUACAACGAUAUUUAGUUGACGGAUUCGGCGAAAAAACAAACUAUGCGUAGUUUGUUGUCUUCAUUCUCGAGGGUUGGGUUGGAAGGCUUACGUGUUUGUAUUGCUUUUAUUUUUUUUUAUUUUUUGAUAUUUUAUAUUUUAAUUAAAAAAUUAAUAAAAAAUUUAUUAAAUUCAAUCAAAUUCAUGAGGAGUUUCUGCUUCUCAAAAAAAAAAAAAAAAUCAUCUCUUAUUAAUGAUGAUCUAUUUUUUUAACUCCAACUUAAAAUAGUGCAAUUUUAAUUUUACUAUUAUUAUCAAUAAUAUACUUUUGCUAUAUUAGCACCACGUCCCUAUCAUGAUUUUUUUACUUAACAAAAAAUAUUUCAUACAAAAAAAUUAUCAUGUGCUUUAUUGUUUUUAUUGUUAUGUAAUUAAAUGAAAAAUAAUUUUUGGAAUCAAAAAAUUAUUGAAUUUGAUGACUAACAUGAUUUGCUUUGUGAGUUUGACUGGCCGAGUCGAGUUGAUUUAAGUUUUUAAAUUAAAUACUAUUUUUUUAACCGAUUUUGUUCUUCAACAUUGAGUUAAUUUAAGAUUAAGCUUUUAAUUUGUUUUUUUAUUUUAUUUUUCAGAUUAUCCCUACAACUUUUAUAUCACAUCCAUGUUAAUUUAGGUAAAUCAAAUAUUUUUUUUUAUCUUAAUAUUAAAUAAAAAUAUCGUUCAAUUCAUAAUUAAAAUCUAGUUUUUUAGAAGACACAUCACUAAUAUUUAAAUAAUUUUUUUGUUUUUAAUUUAAAAUCUGCUCCAAACCCACGGCAUAGGGCGGUAGUUCAAAGCUCCGUAAAAGGAAUUCACAAGUUAGAGCAAAUAUUUGGAGUAAUUAUUCAUAAUCUUUCGUAAAAUAGGUAAACCAAUUUAUUUUCUGAUCACAGUCCAUGUCGUUUCCAUAUCAACAUUAUGCAUCACGAGUCAUUUUUGCUUUUUUUGAACCCCUUGCAACUAAAGUUAUUAAAUUGGAUAUGCUAAUAACUUAUUUUAAGAUUUGGACUAAACAAGUUAAUUUAAAUUGUUUUUAUUAAUUAAAAUAAUAUUAUUUAAUUUAUUUUUUAAAAUUAAAUUAAGUUUGAAACUAAUUCAAUCAUGUGAUAAUUUGAUCCAUCAUAUAGUUUAACUAAGUUAAUUAUCAUCUACUUUUUUAAAAAAUUAACUUGAUUCAGGUUUAAUAAUAAUUAUCAAAACUUGAGAACUGUUUUUUCCUUAAGUUUUACUUAUUUAUUUAUCUUUUUAGUGAUAUAUAAAUCGUUAAAAAAUAAUAUAAAUUAUAUCCUGGAAUUUUGCCUAACCGAUUAAGCUAUUAAGUUAAGAUGGUUUUUUGAUAUAGUAUCAGAGCGUUGAUGAUCAAGCGGUCACGAGUUCGAAUCUCACCAUCCCUAUUUAUUUAAUAAAAAUCAAACACAAGAUAAUAUGAGUUUGUGCAAGUUUCAAGUCCAAAUGACUUUUAUUUGAGGAGGUGUCAAUUUAAACUAUUAAAUUGAAAUAAUUUUUUUGAAACGGAAGGAUUCACAAUUAUUGUGUUCAUGAUGUGAUCCUAUACUUUUUCCUGUUUUUGAGUAGAUGACUAGAUAAAAUUUAUUUAAAAAAAAAAAUCAAAACGACAUUGUUUUAGUAAAAAAGAAAACAAAAAAAAUAAAAGCCAAUAAGUUUGUGGCCGGGUCUUUACCAGAUCUUUCCAGGUCAGCCGGAUCACACCAAAUUUUUCCUUUCUUUAUUUUUUUUUCAACCCGGUCCGGUUUCGUUCCCGGAUCGACCUACCAGGUCAUCAGGUUUCAAAACUAUGUCGAAGGUUACCACCUUUGGUUUUUUAUCUCUAUUUUUUAAAUGACCAAGUUGUAUUCCAAUAAUUAAAGGGGAAAUAGAGACCACUUGUCUUAUAAAAAAUACCGUUGGCUUUUGCUGGUUUCCUCACUCAAAACCACCACGAAGAAGCCUUGAGCCUCUGGUUUUUCUCCUACAAUUUUGGUACACACUCACCUAUAUAACCAAACCCCUUUACUCCCAUUUACUUCAUCAAAUCAUAACUCCUGAUAUCUUAAUCUCUCCAAAUCCCACUUCAAAGAGUUUCCAGCUCGUUGGUUCUAUAUUACAGUAACACAGAAAAUGAGUUCAGCAAGCAAAGCUUGGUUGGUUGCAGCAGCUGUUGGAGGAGUCGAGGCCUUGAAAGACCAAGGGUUCUGUAGGUGGAACUAUACCUUGAGAUCGCUACACCAACAUGCCAAGAACCAUGUCAGAUCAGCCUCUCAGGCCAAGAAGCUUUCUUCUUCAUCUUCUGCUAUGAUCUCGAAUAAAAUCAAGGAAGUGAAAGCAAAACAGUCUGAGGAAUCUCUAAGAAAAGUCAUGUAUUCGAGCUGUUGGGGUCCUUACUAAGCAAAGAAGCUAGAACAGAUUGAGGAAGUUAUCGUGAUAGGAUUAUCCUGAUUGUUGCAAGUUGAUGUAAAUUGAUUCGUAAAUAUUGUUGCUGACUUCAGGGAAUCAAACCAUAUUACUUUUGGAUUAAUUUUGGCUUACACCAUUUAUUUUAUAAUUUCUGUUUUCCCAUUUCUUUUCUCAGGCCCUCAUGUCGCAAAGUGAUAAGGAUCAUGACAAGGUUAAUUUUAGUGCACCACAGCUAAAAAAAUUAAAUUGAGGGGCAUUUGUCAAAGAUAUUUGAAUCAAUCGGAAUCUCACUAGAAUCUAAAUUAUAGUUUGGUAAAAAUAAAAAUUCAGUUCAAGAAACAUUAGAUUUAGAACUUAAACUGGUUUUUCUAGGACAAAAAUAGAUUAAGAAAUAAUUAUUGGACUUGUUCCCUUUUGGAGCCAAAAGGAAGUUCUUUAUGUCUUUUGCUUUUCGGCAUAAAUGAAGAUCAAUAGGGAUUAUUUUCUUCGAUGUCAAAACUUAUGAAAUUUCAAGAAACUUGGGAAUGGUGCAAAAUGGUUGAACUGGCACAAAAAAUUAACAUUUUCUUGAAUCUCUGAAAGAUGAAUUAGAUCGCAAGAAAUACUUUUUUUGAAGUGAAUAAUGUUUCGUAAUGUAAGGGAAUCAUUUGUCCACUACUCGUAAGAAAAUAAAUUAUUUGGAUAAAUAAUCGGGUUUUUUUUUUUUUUAAGGUUGAUCUUUACCUAACAGUGUAAAUAUUAUCAUUAAUUUUUUUUUUAUGUAUAUUUUAAAGGUUGUGAAGUAAUAUCAUAAUUUAUUAAUCUGUUUUUAGUGGUUAUUUUUCUAAAAUUAGUAUUUUUUUAAUAAAUUUUGACAGAACAAUAUCAUUUGAAAAUAUUUUUGGUUAAAUAAUACAUUUUCACCUGAUCGUAUUUCUGAAGUGUAACAUUUACUAAAUAUCAUUGUUUCUAAAAGUGACUAGGUGAAUUUCCAAUCACCUGGCAGAAGUGCUUGACUAAUUGAAUUUAGUUGUAUGAAUUGGUUUAUUGUUUUAAAAAAAAUUAUAAUUUAAUAAUUUUUUUCUUUCAAAUAUAUUUUAAGAGUUCAAUAUCUUUAUUCAACUUGUAGAUUCAAAAAUAGAAUCCAAUUAAAAUCUCAAAAAGUUAUUAUACACAAAAUGCUUGUCUUCUAUUUUUUAAUAUCAAUGAUGUAGUUGGAUUUGUGAUAAUAAGUGAUUCUAAGUAGUCAGGUGUGACUCUACCAUAACUAAAUGAGAUUUGGCCCAAAUAUAUUACUUGAUGAUCUAACAUAUGUAUUUAUGAACCAAUGAGACAUAUCUAAACUCAGAAAGAAGGUUUAAUCACGCCAAACCAAAAUAACUCUCAAAAGGACCAUAACUUCUGAUUAGAUGCUCAAAUUCUUUAUAGAAGUUCUCGGAGGUUGUUUUCCUUAUAGUAAUCAUUGCGUCGCUAUGCGAACCAUCAAAUUUUUAGAUAUAAAAAAUCUAGCUGAGGCCUCUCAAAUUUAGCAGUUUUAAGAUUUUUUUUGUUAUUUUUAGAAUUAAUCGACCAAUUUCACUAAUCAUUAUGAAUCUUUCAACUAGUUGAUGCAAAUAAUUGAAAUUUUACCUUGUCGUGCUUUAGAAGCACAAUAUUUAUUAAAUAUUGUUAUUCUAAAACGUGAUAAUUAUUUUAUUUCUUUUAAAGAUAACAAUAUUUAAUAAAUAUUGUAUUUUUAAAAUGCAAUAAAGUGAAAAUAUACCAUUUCAUUAAAAAAUUUGUUUCUCUACUAAUUUGCCAAUUAUUUUGAUUUUAUAUACUAUUUUUUCAAUUUAUCCCCCGUGUAACAUGGCUAGUAGUUACAAUGUGCUGGUUCUUUAAUUUUUUUUGUUCUCAAGUGUGAUACAUAACAAUUAAUUUUUUUGCCACGAUUGUUAUUUUGGAAAAAAAAAAAUCGUAUCUUGUGACACAUGCAAUGGAUCUACAAUUAUUAUUGUCUUCAGGAGGUAAUCCUGUCCGUUCCCUGUUUUUGAGUAGAUGCCUAGACAAAUGCUAAAAUGCUAUCCUUCCAGCCCCACUAUUAAAGAAAAACAAGUGGAUUUGCCUCCAAUAAUACUUGAGGCUCAAUUUUGAUUUUUAUAAAGCAAACCGUGUGCCUCUUACCAAAAACAAGUCUCCACUCCAGCUUUGUCGUCAUUGAAUAUGAUAAGAUGCAUGAAAAAGAAAUCCCCCAUUUUUUCUCCAUUUGUAUUUAUUGCCACCAAGUGGUCCUUGAUGGACAUAAAGAUUCAGUCCCAUCCUCAGUCCCAUCGUAGCCUAACUGCACUAAAAUAAUACCACUGGCUUUAACUUGUGCCAAAACCACCAGCCACAGCUUAUCCCUGGCUUCCGGUUUCCUCCAAUUUUCGGGUCCCCUAGUCCCCUCCUCUCUAUAUAAACAAUCCCCAGCCUGUCAUCUACACCAUCAAACACAAUUUCCCUUCUCAAUUACAUCUUAACUUUUUCAAAACAUUGUCCAUCUUCUAGCUGUUCAGUUCAAUCAAAAGAAAUAGAAAAAUGAGUUCAACAAGCAAAGCUUGGGCUGUUGCCACUAGUAUUGCAGCUGUGGAGGCUUUGAAAGAUCCAAGGAUUUUGCAGAUGGAACUACACAAUAAGAUCACUAUACCAACAUGCCAAGAACCAAGGCAAGUCAUCCUCUCUGCCCAAGAAGCUCUCUUCUCCAGUUUCUACUGUGGUUGCAAGUAAAGUAAGAGAGAAUCAGAAAGCAAGGCAAUCCGACGAGUCACUGAGGCAGGUCAUGUACUUGAGUUGCUGGGGUCCUUACUAGCUAGGCAGUAAACUACCAGCAAGGAACUAUGGCCAUGCAUGGACUGGUUGCAGCAUAGAGACAAUCGAAGUCUUUCCAAGAGAGACUCAUUUGGCGAAACAUGACAAGGCCGACUUCUUAUGGCGAUGGACGCUGGAACCCAUCAACGAUUAUUCAGCUUCAUUUGAAUGUUAUGCUCUAGCAAUACAUGUUUCAAUGAAUUGCUGAAUGAAGGGAGCAAAUUGUAAUUUUUCAGAAUGAAACGGCAUUUAAAAUUAGGACUCAAUUGAAUCAGUAAGCAAAUUACAUGAGUGGAUUAAAGUCUUGUUCUCUGCUUUUAGCCCAUAGGGAUUAAUUACUACGACGUCAAAACUUGUGUGCCUUCAUGAAACUUGGACAGUGUCAGAGUGGAUGAACCUAACACGACACUUUCUACUAUAAGUUUAUGUAUUGGGGUUAGGCUGCAGUCAAGUCUUGAGUAACAUGAUGUAAUUAAUUAACAAAAAUCAAACCGCGUGGGGUUUUCAAUGUUGAAGAAGCACAGUUUACUUUUUCGAAAGAGAUGAUUGGAUUUAAAAGGAAAAAAAAAAGGUAAAAUAAAUAAUGAUUUUGAAUUUUAUAUAAAAAGUUUAUCCGGG
This 71124-nucleotide long non-coding RNA is filed under the name Populus tremula. RNAcentral's name for it is "long non-coding RNA (PTRE_LNC001599)". The record is from RNAcentral. Lineage: Eukaryota; Viridiplantae; Streptophyta; Magnoliopsida; Malpighiales; Salicaceae.